Molecule: long non-coding RNA, 51162 nt
Filed under: Eutrema salsugineum
Lineage: Eukaryota; Viridiplantae; Streptophyta; Magnoliopsida; Brassicales; Brassicaceae
Source: RNAcentral
GGCGAAUGCCUUUUGGUCUCUGUAAUGCACCAGCCACUUUUCAAAGAUGUAUGAUGCACAUUUUCUCUGACAUUAUUGAAGAAAAAGUUGAGGUGUUCAUGGAUGACUUUAGUGUCUAUGGCUCCUCCUUCUCGGAUUGUCUCUCAAAUUUGUCACAGGUUUUGGAGAGAUGUGAGCAGCAUAACUUGGUGUUGAACUGGGAGAAGUGCCACUUCAUGGUUCAGGAAGGAAUAGUUCUUGGACACAAGAUAUCUGAGAAGGGCAUAGAGGUUGAUAGGGCAAAGGUGGAAGUGAUGGUGAAUCUGCAAACUCCCACUUCAGUUAAAGGGAUAAGGAGUUUCCUUGGGCAUGCAGGGUUUUAUAGAAGAUUCAUAAAGGACUUCUCAAGAAAUGCCAGGCCCUUGACAAGACUGUUGUGUAAAGAAGUGGAUUUCAUCUUUGAUGCUGAAUGUGAGGAGGCCUUCAAGUUGAUCAAGGAGGCAUUGGUUAGUGCACCAAUAGUUCAGGCAUCAGACUGGUCCCUUCCUUUUGAGGUCAUGACAGAUGCAUCUGAUUUUGCUGUUGGAGCAGUGCUUGGGCAAAAGAAAGACAAGAAGCUACAUGUCGUCUACUAUGCCAGUAGAACACUUGACUCUGCACAAGAGAAGUAUGCUACUACUGAGAAGGAGAUGCUGGCAAUAGUCUUUGCCUUUGAUAAGUUCAGAAGCUACCUGGUGGGAUCAAAAGUCAUUGUAUAUACUGAUCAUGCGGCCCUCAGGUAUUUGAUGACCAAGAAAGAUGCCAAGCCAAGGCUGUUAAGAUGGGUUUUAUUGCUCCAAGAGUUUGAUAUGGAAGUGCUUGAUAAAAAGGGCAUUGAGAAUGGGGCUGCAGACCAUCUCUCCAGGCUGAGGAUUGAUUCUGAAGUGCCUCUCAAUAAUAGUCUUCCUGAGGAAUCACUGAUGGUGCUCCAUUCUUAUUUGGAGUUUGAAGAAGUGGACAGCAUUCAAGAUAGGAGGAUGCCUUGGUUUGCAGACAUUGUGAACUAUCUUGCUUGUGGAGUGGAACCACCAGAAUUGGAUGCUUACCACAGGAAGAAGUUCUUCAGAGAAGUUGAAAGAUACCAUUGGGAUGAGCCCUACCUCUAUGUCCUUAACAAAGAUCAGCUGUAUAGAAGGUGUCUUGCUGAGGAAGAGAUGCAACCUGUGUUGCAAGAGUGUCAUGGUUCAGCUUUUGGAGGUCACAUGGGAGCAUUCAAGACUGUGGCCAAGGUUCUUCAGAGUGGGUUUUGGUGGCCUACAAUGUUCAAAGAUGCUCAGUUGGUGGUUUCAGCAUGUGAUGCCUGUCAGAGGCAUGGGAACAUAUCAAAGAGGAGUGAGAUGCCUCAAAACCCCAUUCUAGAAGUUGAGAUCUUUGAUUGCUGGGGGAUUGACUUUAUGGGGCCCUUCAUUUCAUCCUAUGGGAAUCAGUAUAUACUUGUUGCUGUGGACUAUGUGUCCAAAUGGGUUGAGGCCAUUGCUUCCCCUACCAAUGAUUCCAAGGUUGUAGUGAAGCUGUUCAAGAGCAUUAUCUUCCCAAGAUUUGGAAUUCCAAGGGUUGUCAUCUCUGAUGGAGGAUCUCAUUUUGUGAACAAGACUUUGGAGGGUUUGUUGAGAAAGCAUGGAGUGAAACACAAGAUAGCUACUCCUUAUCAUCCUCAAACUAGUGGCCAGGUUGAGGUAUCUAAUAGACAGAUCAAGGCCAUUCUUGAGAGGACUGUUAGCUCAACCAGAAAAGAUUGGAGCAAAAGGCUAGAUGAUGCAUUGUGGGCUUACAGGACUGCCUUUAAAACUCCAAUUGGGACAUCACCUUUCAGUCUGCUAUAUGGGAAGAGCUGCCACCUUCCUGUUGAGUUGGAGUACAAGGCUAUGUGGGCUCUGAAGUUACUGAAUUUUGAUAUCAAGACAGCUCAAGAGAAAAGGGUCGUGCAACUCCAUGAGCUUGAGGAGAUUAGGCUUGAGGCUUUUGAGAGCUCAAAGAAAGCUUUGCAUGAUCAAAAGACUCUGAAAAGGGAGUUCAAGGAUGGUGAUUUGGUGUUGCUGUUCAACUCUAGACUUAAGUUGUUUCCACGAAAACUUAAGUCUAUGUGGUCUGGACCUUUUAAAGUUCUUGAAGUCAGGCCAUAUGGAGCUGUUGUCUUGGAAGGAAUGAAUGGUCAAGAGUUUGUGGUAAAUGGACAAAGGAUCAAGCACUAUUUGGUUUCACAAAGGAAGGAGGAAGCUACAUCAGUUCCCCUCCUUGAUCCACCACCAGCCUGUUAAACAGGUUUCCAAAGUCAAACUUAGAGACUUUAAACAAAGUGCUCUUGGGAGACACCCCAAGCUUAUCUUUGUACAUAGUUCUUUUGAUUUCUUCUCUUUUCUUUUAUGUUUUAGAACUUUUUGAUGGGUUUUGUGAGUUGGUCUCAGGUUCUAGGUGAUUUUUGGAGGACAUAGCUCAGUGAUGAAUGGAAUGGAGCAUUUGAGAGGGCUGGGGGAAGUGUUUAAGGACUGAAAAACUUGGAGAACGCCUCAGUGCCACCUAGGUUGUGUGGUUUGGAUCAAGAAGAGCCCAGGCCGCAGCAGGACUCGCAAUUUACUCCGGCAUGGGCGUGCUACCUAGUGAAAGUGGUCUAGGCCGCAGAAAGAAGAAGAACAGGCCAAGAGUUCUAAGUCCCAAACUCUGCUACCUGGUGCUGCGGCCUAGAAACAAGAGAAGCCAACCCGCACAUCCAUUCGCAAAACACUCCGGCUUAGGCGUGCUAGCUGGGCACAAUGGAACUAGGCCGCAGGAAAAGAGGAAUGGCCGAGUUGUCUAAGUCACAAAGUCUGCGGCCUGGUCGUGCUACCUGGAAACAAAGGAAACCAAACACAAAAUAGGCAAUGAGAAUGAGAGAAUAGAGCUUGGUCCUUUGGGUAAAACCCUAAAAAACUAUAUAUGAGUCCUUAAACGAACUGGGUCAGCCCGGAACAAACGGGGUCCUGACCCGGCCUUGAUGGGUAAAGAUGAGUUUUGCCACGGUCAGAUGAUUCUGGGCGUGCUAGCUGGGAAUAUGAAGACCAAGCCGCAGCAAAAAGAGGGACGGCCAGAACGUCUAAGUAACAAACCCUGCGGCUUAGGUGUGCUACCUGGGAACAGAGGAAGCCAACCCGCACAUCCAUGAAAAAUUUACUCCAAGUUGGUCAUGCUACCUGGUGUAAGAGGUCCAAGCCGCAGCAAAAAGAAGAACGGCCAAAGUUGUUAAGUCCAGAAACCUGCAGCCUGGUCGUGCUACCUGGAAACAAAGGAACCUAACUCGCAGCCCAACUCUCAAUUUACUCCAAGUUGGUCCUGCUACCUGGUGAAAGAGGUCCAAGCCGCAGCAAAAAGAGGAAUGGCCGAGAUAUCUUAAGUCCAAAAAUGUGUGACUUAGGUGUGCUACCUGGGAACAAAGAAAACCAAGUCGCACAUAUGUUCGGAAUUUACUCCGACUUGGUCGUGCUAGCUGGUCGCAAUGGGUUCCAGGUAGCAGCAAAAAAAAAUAAUAAAACCGAGCUGAAGGAUUUCACUGCGACUUGGUCAUGCGGGGUAGGCACAGAAGAUCCCAGGUAGCACAAAAAUAUUUCCGGUUCUGCACCAAGACGGUCAUGCGGCUCGAUCCCGACGGUUCCCGGACGCACAAAAGAGAGAAAGGAGGCCGGUCAAUGAGAAAAGGACGGUCAAAGCUUUGAUUGGUCAAAAUAGAUCUAUUGACCACCAGUCCAAAGGCUUGACCCUGUCCCACACUCUCUCUUCACCACAACAAACCCGAGUUUGCAACUCUUUCUCUCAUUUCUCUCCAUUCUUUUCAUCAUAUCUCUCUCAUUUCUCCACCAAAUUUGUUGAUUCAAAGUGCUCUGAGCUCGUUUUUGAAUUGUUAACAUCAUCCUGAUUGCAUUUCGAACUCGUUGCAUCUUAAUCCCAAGGUAUUUCAUCCUGUUAAAACUCACUUUUUUCCAUGUUCUUCAAUGGUGAUUUAUGAGCUUCAAAGUGUGGAAUCGAUUUUGAUAGGUUGUUUUAGACCUUGGGAUUAGUUUUAUAAAUGCUAAGGUGCUAGAUAGUCUUGGAAAACAGAGCACUUUGUUGGUGAUUCCUUGUUCUUGAGUUUUGAAAAUUGUUGCAAGUAAUUCAUGAAAAAAUCGAUUUUUUUUUUAAAAAAAGGAGAUGAAUUGGUUUCUUGCUGAGUCUUUGCUUUGCACUCUUGUUUUUGCAUUGCUAUGAACUUAUUGGAUUGAUACUUGGCUUGAGAAACCUGUUCAUGUGGUUUUAAAAUCGAUUCUUGCAACUAAUGUUUUUCAAAAUUUUGAAGAAUUUUGUGAAGCUUGUUCUUGUACUAACAUUGUUUUUGAGAAUCUCUUGGAAGAUGACUGAAAGAACCAACUCUCUAGCCAAGAAGAAGGGCAAUGCAUCAAAGGGCGAAGGUUUGGUCUCAGGGUCUUCAUAGCCAAGAGAAAAAAGUCAAGGUGCAAAGAAUACCACAAAGCAAGGGAAGUGUGAUCCAGCGCCAAAAAGGACAAGGCCUGAAGGAAAAGCUUUGGUGGUUGCUUCUGGUUCCAAUAAGAAGGGGAAACAGUUGGCUGUGGUAUCUGAGAGUGAACAGACUGAAAGUGACUCAAGCAGCUCAGCUGGUGGUUCCCAAGGCACCAUUGAAGAGGGAUCCAAGAAGUUCAAGACAACUGAACCAGAAACACUUGAUUAUCUGGCUAAGUUUCAACAGAUAGAGAUCUAGCAAGGGAGAUUCCCUGAUUUGGACUUUCUGAAGAAGAUUGGCAUCUAUGAAGAUGUCAAGACUUUGCUUGGGAACAUGGGUGUUGAGUCUCUUUUGGAGAUGAGAGAGAUCGCUUAUGAACAAGAGUCUCAAGAAUUCUUGGCGUCCUUUGAAGCUUUCAUUUACUACCAAAGGGAUUCAAGAAUUAUUCAAGGAGAUGGGCUUGGACAUGUGGAGUUUACUGUGAAAGGGAAGGAGUAUUCAGUGUCAUUCAGAGAAUUGAAUGAGAUUUUUGGGUUUUCAUCACCUAGAAAUGAACUUCUCUCCAACCAGGUCAAUCUUAGAAAAGAUGAGAUCCAACUUCUAUGGAGAUCAAUUGCUUCUGGGAAGUACACAGCUGGAACAGCAAAGUCCUCUUGGAUAAGGAAUCCAGUUCUGAGAUAUGUACACAAGAUUCUCUCUCACAGCUUCUACUUCAAGAUUGAUGUUGGAAGAGUUCACAAAGGAGAUCUGAUGCUUCUUGGUGUAGGGCUGAGACCGCUGAUGCCAACACAUGAAGAUGGGGAACCCUAUGAAGGGUAUGAAUACCCACUUUGCCUUGCCUCUCAAUUAGCAAGGUCUUUGAUGUUCUACAAAAAGUGCAUGUGGGGUUCUACAAAGCAAGAUGCAAAGCUGGCCCAUGGAUGGGUGGUAACAAAGAUCUUGAAAGCCAUGGGGUACAGAUUCAAGGAGAACAAGGCAAUGUUUGAUCUGAUUAAUGAAGCACAUUUGUGUAAGAUUGGCUUCCUCCAAGGAAGAGUGGGUACCAAGGUAGUAUACAACUUCAAGACACUCAUCAGUGAGCCAGCCCAAGUUCUCCUGCCCAAUCCCUCCAUCACCACAAUCCAAGUUAAGAGGAACAUUCACUUCUUCUUGCUGAAGGAAGAGCUGUACAAUGUCCAAACUGAUCCACCAAUCCUCACAUACAAGCAAGCUUGCAGAGAAGAAGCCUCCAAGGGAAAGAAAGCAACCGCUGAAGAUGCUACCACAAGUGCUGCUGGUGCUCAAGAUGCUGAUCUGCCUCCACCUCAAAAACGUUUUGGUGGAAACAGAUAUCACUUUGAUGAUUACAACUGGGAGGAGCCAGGCACUUCAGGGUUCAGGGCUCAACAAAAGAUUGGUAUUCUCCAACAAUGGCGCAAGUACCAAGACAAAACCAUCCACAAGAUGGCCAAGUGCAUCAAGGAGAUGAAGAAGAGGAUCAAGAAACUUGAAAACCCUUGCAAAGGUGGGGCUCCAGCACCGGUUUCACCAAUGAACAGAGAGGAAGUUGGAGAGAGUUCCAUGAAUUGCACAGCCCUGGUCACAUAUGGAACCACUUGGGUGGAUCUUGACGACGGGUCUGAUGAGGCAAGCCAUCAUUCUUGGGAAACACCAUACGGCCACACUUCAAACGCCUCCUACUCAUUGGGGUCUGACUUCAACAGCCACUAGGUAACAGUCAAAACCUUGUAAAUAGCAUGUAGUUUUCUUUUUGUUUUGCAUUUUACUUGUUUACUUUGUUUUAACUCCUUUCUCAUGCUUUUAUAACACAAGGGACUGUGUUAUUUAAGUGUGGGGGAGGAGUUUCAUCCUUUACUAAUCAUGUUUUCUCUUUUCCUAUUUUACACUUUGAGUCUUGAGUCACAUUCUAGUUGCAUAUUCAUUUAGUCUCAUCUAAGUGCAUAUAAAAACAAAAAAAAAAAAAAAUGGAAAAAUCUUAAAAAUUUUCACAAAAAAAUGAUCAUGUAGUUGCAUUCUCAUUUUUAGGAUUGAGUCUAGAUUGCAUAUGCAUGUAGGUUGCAUUUUGCAGGGAGUAAUGAUAGGUUUUCUAGAGAGUACAUCACUUUGAGAACUUGAAUUGAAUAUGCUUGUGAAUCUUUUUAUGUGCUUGCAAAGUCUGAAACGAUUUGAAUCUGAGAAGCAAGUUUGAAUUGAACUCAACUCUAAUAAGUGAAAACCCUGAACUUGACUUGAAACUAUCAUUUUGUGCAUUGUUUGAAUAAGCUUGUGGAUACCAAUAUACAUAUUUGAGCUAGAAUCCUGUUUUUACCAUCCUCUUCCUUAUCUCAAAUAGCUCAAUCUGCAUAAUAGAUCGGUUUUCCUCACCCUGAACCCAUCCUUCUUUCAAGCCAAUUGUUUGUGUGUGAUUGAGAGGCCACCUUGGACCAAACUUGGCAGAAAGUGUUAGGUUUAGGGCGACAAGGGCAAGUCUCAUUGAGUGCUAAGUUCCAUCAUCAAGGAGCUGAGAGAUUUGGCAAGAACUAAGUGUGGGGGAAUACAUGUUGGUGAGUGGAAAAAGGAGAGAUGAGUGGAAAUAAAAGGAGAAUGGUGAGAACAAGGGGAUAGAAAAAGAAAUCAGUCUUGGAGUUUUGAGUCAAAAGAAGUGAGCUCUAGUGUUUUGAAAAGAAAGAGUCUAGCCUCUAAGUGAAAAGAAAAGAAGCCAAAGAGCUCAAAUGUUUUAAAAAGAAAGAAAAAAAAGAGGUUAGAGGUUACAAAAGAAAGUGAUAAAGAGCUAUGGAAAGUUUGAACUCCAAGACUUGUGUAUGAAAAAGAAAAGAGAGUCCCCUAGUGAGAGAAGAAUGAGUGUGAAAAGUAAGCAAGUGAGGAAACUUUGAGUAGAAUGUGGGGUGGGAUGAGUCUUUGCCCUAGGUUGCCUUUUACCUUUAGCAUUCUGCCAAAGUUUUGUCAUUCAUAGAGAGAUCCUUUUGCUGCAUUGAACCCACUAAAGGAAUUGAUGAGAUCAUUUUAGUCUCAUAACCUCACCCUAGCCAAACUAUGUUUGUUUAAGCAAUACAUCAUUUGAUCCACUUGGUAAAAAGCUUAAUGAAUGUGAAAGAGUUGAGAGAGAGAAGAACUUGUGGAGAUUCCUUGUUGAGUUGAUAUAUAUCUGAGUAUGGCUUUGCAUUGCAUAAUUGAGCAUGAACUUGAAUUCUCAUUGUGAUCACUUCUCUCAAAAAGGAAAUGUGAACUCCCAUGCAUUCAACCUCUUUCUCUCAUUUGUUCUUGUUUGCUUGAGGACAAGCAAAGGACAAGUGUGGGGGAGUUGAUAUGUUCAUAAUUUGCAUCAUUUAGGUUGCAUAAUUCAUUCUAAAUCAUGUUUUAUUCCAUGCAUUUUAGGUCCUUAGGGUUUGUUUUAGAACUUAGGAGAUGCAUUAGGUCCCAAUGAGUCUUUGCAUGUUUUGAGUGUUUAUCAGGUGUAUUUGGAGCUGAAAAGAUGAAUCCAGGAGGUGGAAUUGUGAUCAAAGCUUGAAAAGUGGCAAAAUUGGGUCUUUGGAGGUUAUCGGCCAUUCUCGCUGACCAGGAAGGUUUUCUCGGCCAUUUUCGCGUACCAGGAAGGAUUUUAUCGGCCAUUUUCACGUACCGCGGGUAGACUUUAUGGGCCAAAACGCGUACCGGCUAUUGAAUCUCUCGGCCAAAUUCUCCGGGUGCAGACAGGUUUCCGAAAUCGCCUGUCCGGGGAACCUUCCGGUCCGAUUCAGAUGUCGGGUGCUUCAUAGAGGUUGAAGAGGAUUGGAUCACGGUUUCAUAUAAAGUGGAAUCAUGGAAUUCGGACACGUGAGCAGAGAGUUAAGCGCGUCGGAAGAAACCCCUGUCUCGCUGCUGUUUUGGACCAAGCCGAGGAGCUCUGAAGAAUGCGAAGGACGGUGUACUUCCAGGCCGAUUCAGUUUCCGGGGCCUUCAUAAGAAUCAGAGACAUUUGAGUCGUCUUUCCAGAACGUCCAACAUCAUUCAAUUCGGAGCUAUGAGCAGAACGUCCAACAUCAUUCAAUUCUCAGCAACCUGAUCAUCUUUUAAGGCUGCCUCCCCCUCAGUUUGAUCAUUGUCCUCAAUGAUCACAUUGUUGUUCUCAAUACCAGGUAACUCCUUUCCACUCCUCAUUGUAAUGGCCUUAGCAUAUUCCUUGGGGUUGGGUUCUGGUUUUCCAGGUAGGUGACCUUGGUUCCUUGAGCUUGAGGCUUGGUUCUGCUUUAGUUCCUUGAUUUCCUGCUGCAUGGCUGUAUUCUGGCUUGCAAAGAUCUGUUGACCCUGAAGUAAUUUUGGCAGAAUACCAACCAUAUCUGUCCCCAUCUGUUGCUUCUGCUGAACCAUUGGUGGCUGAAAUUGUUGUUGAACCGGCGCCUGCUGUUGGAACUGUGGAGGACCAAACCCCAGUGGUGCCUUUUGCUGCUGUGAGUUGAAACCAGUACCCUGAAAUGGUUGCUGUUACUGACCAAAACCCUGAUUCUGAGUAAACUGAUUCUUGGGUUGGAAAGACCCUUGAAAGUUGUUCUUGGGAGCAAAGUUCUGUGGAGCUUGAGAAUUGGGAUAGACCUGGUCUUGUGGGUUAGCUACAUUGGUGUUCCUGUAGGAAAGAUUUGGAUUGGCAUUACCAUACUGAUAUCGCUGGAACCUCUGAUUCCCAAUGUAGUUAAGCUCUUCCUCACUAAACCCAUGGUGUGGGCAUUGGGUUAGCUACAUUGGUGUUCCUCAUACACCAACAAAAUGCAUUGGCUUCUGAGUGGUGAAUUUCAGCUUGUCCAAUUCACUUCUCAACUCCUUAACUUCUCUAGUGAGCCUCUGUUCUGAGCUUGAACCUUCAGAUCUAUUUGAUCUGUCAUAGUCUUCACCAUAAGUAUCAUUGCUCAAUGCUAAGUUCUCCACUAGCUCUAAAGCAGCAUGUAUCUCCUUUUCCAGAAAGUUCCUAUUGGAGGCAGUAUCCAGCUGGUUUCUAAUCUUGGGAAGAGCUCCUCUAUAUAGUGUGCUGAGAAGGGAAGCCUCACUAAACCCAUGGUGUGGGAAUUGGUUUGUGUAGCGCCUGAAUCUCUCAUAUGCUUCACCAAAACUCUCUUUGCUGUGCUGAGUGAAGCUAGAGAUUUGGUUCCUCAGUUUUGCAGUUCUUGAGGUGGAGAAGAACUUAGAUAGGAAAGCUUGCUUGCAUUGCUCCCAGGUUUGAAUGGAGCCUCUUGGAAAAUUCUUUUCCCAUUGGUGAGCUUUGUCACCAAGACUGAAUGGGAAUAGUCUUAGCUUGAAGCUGUCCUCUGAAACUCCAUUAAUCUUAAUCAGGUCACACACCUUAUCAAAUUGAUCCAAGUGUUCCAAGGGAUCUUCCAUUGCUAAUCCAUGGAACUUUGAGUUCUGGACCAUAUUCAACAAGGAUGCCUUCACUUCAAAGUUGUUAUUUUGCACAGGUGGUGCCUGAAUUCCAGCUCCAUACUGAUGAGCAUUGGCCCUGUCAUUCUCUCCAACAUAGACUUGGGGUUGCUCAUAUCUCCUUUGCUGGUGUUGGAAGGGCUGAUGUUGGUGGUGUACCUGUUGUCUUUGCUGUACAUUGGCCUGAUGCCUCUAUUGAUGAGCUUGAGCUUGUCCCUGGUGGACAUAAGCUUGUUGGUGAUGCACCUGUUCCUGAUGAACAUUACCCUGAUUUAACCCUUGACCAACUCCAUUACCAGCUCCAUUACCCUGAGCCUGUUGCUCCUGAACCGGUUGUUCUAUAUCCACCACGUGCUCUCUUUGUUCUUCCAUAUCAGCCUGAUCAAUCUGUCUUCCACGUCUGUCCCUUCUCCUCCUUGGUACCAAAAGAUUGAUGUUGUCGUUGAGAGGGAAAGGUGGACCACAGCUUCUUGAUCUAGACCUGGUGUUCAUACACCUGAAAUCACAAACAGAACUUGAAAGUAAUCAGUAAAAACAAGAAAGUAAGCACUUGAUCUCAAGAACAGAUCAGAGCUUAAUGCUAACAAACCACAAUUUGGCAACGACGCCAAUUGAUAACUAAGAGUUUUCAAGGCUCUUUGUAGAGGUUAUCAAUCCCCUUUCUUGUAGUACAAGGGGUUUAUCAAUCCAAGAAUGUGGUGAUAGACAGUAAGCUAUGUAAUCAGGUUCUUAAUUCAAGCAAACAAGAGUGGUUUGGUUAACUAGAGACAACUACAAACUUAAACAGGAUUAAAAACUAAUGAAAUGAUUAAACAAAGAACUAAAAAAAUGACAAGUGAUGAGAAUGUAUGUAUGAUGAUGAGAAAGGUCUUAGACAUGAUAGAGGAUUAGGGUGGCUUCAGUGAUAAACUAAUGAGCUAAUGAAUCACAUGAUCAAGCAAACCAUUCAACAUAAACAUCUUUAAUUAAGUUAAUCCUCUCAUGAAGGUAUUAACUCCUAUGCUAAAACAGUUUCUAACCCAAUCAUCAUCAGUGAAACAUGAGUUAACAAGCAUUAAGAAUCAGUUUAAUCUGUCAUUAACGCAUAUAGACAAUCAUUCCCAUGAUGAAUAACACUUAAACCUCUAACAACCUUGGUUCAGGCAUUUCAUCAAACACUUUUGGUGCAUGAAAUGCCCAGAAUCUAGACCACAUAUGAUUUUUAUGGAUCUAGCAUAGAGAACAGCUUGUAGAAAAUGGAAUAUGCAUGAUCUAACCCCUAAGCUCACUAAUCUACCACUUAAGCAUCCUAAUCUACAUAUCUAAAACCUUAAUAUGAGAUUACUCACUAAUCAUGAUCAACACACUAGAUCCUUUGCAAGAUGUGUUGUUAAUCAUGAUUAGAAGUGUGAUUUGAUGAUAAGAAAUGAUAGAACAAGAUAAAAAGAGUCUUCAAAUCGAUAUUAAGCUCAAAAGCAAAGUGUAAUAAGUGGUCUUUCACAAAAAGGGAAAAGAGACUAGAAAUGGAUAAAAAGGUCCUCUCCAAAUUAGGUCUAAAAUGUAUUUAUAGAUGCCUUGGACGAACCGGGUCAACCAGGAACGAACCGGGUACUGACCCGGCCUUGGUGGGUAAAGAAGGGGUUUGCCACGGUCUAGCAAGUUCUGGUCAGCCUGUGGCAAGUGGCCGUGGCAAAGUCUUGUAUCUUCGUGUUCUUGGAUGAAUCUUGGUGUCACGGUCUAGCAAGUCUGAAUCUAUACCCAUGGCAAGUGGUCGUGUCAAACGCCGAAUGUAUGUAAAAGGUUGCCACGGUCAAUUCCUAGACUGUGGCACUCAGACCGUGUCAAUCGCCGAAGGUGUGUAAAAGUUGCCACGGUCAAGUCCUAGACCGUGGCAUUCAAACCGUGUCAAGUGCCAAAAGUUUGUGAAAAGUUGCCACGGUCAAGUCCUAGACCAUGGCAUUCAAACCGUGUCAAGUGCCGAAUGCUUGUAAAGUCCUCCCAAGCCAAAUGUUUCUUUCCCACGGUCAAGUCCUAGACCGUGGCAUUCAAACCGUGUCAAGUGCCGAAUGCUUGUAAAGUCCUCCCCAGCCAAAUGUUUCUUUGCCACGGUCAAGUGUAGACCCUGGCAUGAAGAUCGUGUCAAUCGCCGAAGGAUUGCAAAUAGGUGCCACGGCCAAGUGUGCACCGUGGCAUUCCAUCGCGGCAUGUUUCACUUAGCUCGCAUCAUUCAGGGCUGUUUGGACCACUUCGCAUUCCGGAGAGUGUAACUUCUGAGAUACUUGUCCGAAUUGUGUGCUUCUGGUUUCAAAGGCCAUAGGACUCAUAUAUCUCCAACUUUAGUGAAGAAAGCUUCGGUGCUUGGGAAGUGGAAGGCCUCCUGGAGGGCUCAUCUUCGCAAUGCAUUUACACGAUCAGAGAAGGGCGUCUAGACAUGUGUCCAUUCCGGAGACCGUAUCUUCCUGCUCAUAGCUCCGAAUUGAAUGAUCUUGGACGUUCUGGAAAUAGGACUCAAAUGUCUCUGAUUCCCAUGAAGGCCCCGAAAACUGAAUCGGCCUGGAAGUGCACCGUCCUUCGCGUUCUUCGGAGCUCAUCGGCUUGAUCCAAAACGGCAGCGAGACAGGAGUUUCUUCCGACGAGCUUAACUUUCUGCUCACGCGUCCGAAUUGAAUGAUUCCACUUGCUCUGGAACCGUGAUCCAAUCCUCUCCAACUUUGAUGAAGCACCCGACAGCUGAACGGACCGGAAGGUUCCCCGGACAGGCGAUUUCGAAAACGUUUCUGCACCCGGAGAUUUUGGCCGAGAAAUCCAUUAGCCGGUAUGUGUUUUGGCCGAUAAAAACCUUCCUGGUGCGCGAGAAUGGCCGAUAACCUCCAAAAACCCCAUUUCACCAUUUUUCAAGCCUUGAUCACCAUUCCACUUCCUGGAUUCAUCUUUCCAGCUCCAAAUAGUUCCAAAUGCACCUGAUAAACACUCAAAACAUGCAAAGACUCAUUGGGACCUAAUGCAUCUCCUAAGUUCUAAAACAAACCCUAAGGACCUAAAAUGCAUGGAAUAAAAUAUGAUUUGGAAUGAAUUAUGCAACCUACAUGAUGCAAAUUAUGAACAUAUCACAUACCUUCUUCAGACCUGUGCACCUGAUGAAGACAAGUGGAGAUUCCCCUACACGUCGUUCACACAUUCGCGAGUACCAGGUAUGGAGAUACCUCAAAACAUUCAGAGUGGUGAUUGCGGAGUCUACUGCCUGAAGUACAUCGAGUGUCAUGCUUUGGAUUUGUCAUUUCCUCCGCAACUUUGUGAUAAAAACAUUCGACAAAUCAGAGAGAAAAUGGCUGCAGAGAUCUUUGACGAAAUAGGUGCUAGGGGCCAUGACAAGCUAGAUGCAACCAGGCUGAAUUUCUAUGAUAGGAAAGCUUAGGGUAUCCAUAUUUAAAACUAACUUUGAUUUUUAUGGCAACUUUUUGGCUACUUGCAUAAAUGACAUUCAAUGUGAUUGCAGGUCAUUUUAGCAAUUGGUAGAUGAUAGGUGUGGAAGUUGUUUGGCCCCCAAUCGUAUAAUUAAAAUGCCAACUAUGCUGUAUUUUCGUUUAGGAUAUUGUAAUUAAACUGAAGUCUACGACUGAAGUCUACUAAGUUGUAAUUGUAUUUGUACUGAAGUCUACUAAGCAAUUAACAUGUUUGUAUUUAUAAGUUUCGAUUUUCACCCUAAACACUGAAUCGUGUGAAAUAUUAUUGAAAAUGCACUCCUGAUAAUGUCUACGGAAAAAGUUUAGUAGAACUCAUAAAUAUGUUGCUUACAAUAAAUAUAAGUCUACAAACGAAGUCUACUACAGAAGUCUACUAAUAUCAGUUAAACAUAUAAGUAAACACAAAAACAUAAAACAUUGCGUCAACAAAUUUCAACGCGGCCAUUCAUUUGCAAAUCCAGGAAUUGUUUUCCAGAAUAUGGCACAUUCCAACUUCCAGAAGCAAGAACUGCAGAGUUUGUCACCAUAUGAGUCGACAACGCUUUCAUCAUCCAUCCAGUGCUGGUUUGGCAGAUUCAUACAAGCACAACUCCUUGAUUGUGCCUUAGCAAAAACAUGGAAGACCGGUUCGUGAAACUCGCAGGCUUCUUAUAAAUGGUCGGACACUUAUUGAUGUGCUGCUUAGUCUUCCUCAUCUUCGUUGCCUCUGCCGAAAGUAGACCAUGAAUGUGGUUAAAUACAUCAUGGCUGCCAUCCAUGGUUAAAGAGAACAUAACCAUAGAGUAAGUAGCCAUGAGGCAUCCUCCAUUUGAUGACACCUUUAUUAAAUCAAACCCUGCUUGGAUGUUGUCUUCAUAGAAGAUUAGAGAAACGCCUCGUAGGUAUUGCGCUGUAUGAUUUCUACACUCCAAACAGCACCGAAAGAAUGCGUCAACCCUCCCAUGUUGAUCCCAGACCCAUGGAAUGGUCAAAUUUAUUAGAUCAACGGAUCUUAAAAAACCCUCUUCAGUAGAAAUCUCAUUUAGAUGUUUGGAGAAAACCCUUGCUUUACAGAGCGCAGGGAGGGAGGGAGAGAGUUGAAGUUUAUCAGGUUCGACAUCUUCUAAGGAUCUGGGAUGAAACUAUAAUUCGUCUAAACCCGAGAAUUUAUAAGCAGGAAUACCGUAGACAAACAGGAACAACGGUUAUACGCACCGUUAAAGUCGUUAAAGCAUUUACUUAAAUGAAGUUGUUUCAAACCCUAACAGUAAACAAAAUAUCACAUAUAUGGUAGACUUUGACAGUAGACUUCCAUAGUAGACUUCUAGACAACAAUAGCAGCUGUGUCCUCCUAUUCCGGAGCCUUCUUGAUAUUGUCCUGGUGAAUCUUCGACGUCUAAGUGAGAGACAUAAAGUUUAGUAAAUAAAACUGUUAAUAUUGUAUAGGACAUUAUUAGAUUAGUUUAGCUCAACUUACACAAUUCGGUAGGGUAUGACCAGGUUGCUUGCAUUGUGAGCAGCUGUAUAGUUUGUGCAGCUUCCUUGGCUUCUUGCUUUUCCUCCUAGCAAUUUCUAGCCAUGAUUGCCACCGAGACUUCUUCCGUCUGCCUGAUUUGCGGCGAAUGUCUGGUGGCAGACAUAUUGGUAGUUGGACUCCUUGGACCUCUGAAAUUUGGGGAUAUAUGUUGGCAGAGUAUGCAGCAAACAAGUAGUUGUUUGAGUAAGUCGGACAUACAAGGGAAUCCACAGCUAUACCACCGGCAAAUGCAGCUGCAAUAGCAUGUGAGCAUGGGAUCUUCUCGAUAUAAAACACACCACAUUCACACAUUCCAUGUUCCAAAUCAACAAUACAAUUUCUGGUUCCUCCUUUCACAUAGUAUCUCCAAGUGUCAAUUCGGUCCACCUCCAUUGCAUCUGCAUAAUGUUCACGAAUCGCCAGCAAAUACUCCACUCCCCGAGUAUUAUGUGUUGUGAGACUCAAAGCAUCUUCUCUGCGUUUUAAAAACCACCGACCGAGCUUCUCUCGUAUGAAAUCCAAGAGGAAUGAAAUGGGAUAAACACGGGCCUUCUUAAGUGCAGCAUUUAUAGACUCUGCGACAUUGCUAGUUUUAAUAUUGUAUCUGUCUCCAACAAAAUGAACUCGGGACCAAAGGGAAACAUCGGCUUCUUCCAAAUAGUCAGCAAGGUCAGGCUUGAUCUGUCUCAGCUCCGCCAUGUACCGGUUGUAGUCAUAGAGGUUGUAAGCAUAAGCCACACGUUUUACCAAGUACAACAACUGCUUCCCCCUAAACUUUGUUACUAUGUUAUGUUGUAGAUGGUAGAAGUGUAUCCCUCGUUUUGCCCAUGGGAAAACAGUUUGGCAAGCUUUCUUAAUAGAAAGAUGUCUGUCAGAAACUAUCACCAAAAGGAUAACCAUCUGAGACACAUUCACGCAGUUUAGAAAAAAACCAUUCCCAUGAAGCAUCAUCUUCACCAUCACCAAUUCCAAAGGCCAAAGGAAAAAUCUGAAAGUUUUCAUCUUGUGCGGUGGCAACCAACAAAGUACCUUCGUAAUUCCCUGUUAGAUGACAUCCAUCAACCACAAUAACUCUUCUCAUGUACUGAAAACCGCCAAUCGAUGCUCCAAAUGCGAGAAAUAGAUAGUUGAAUUUGUUAUUCGAAUCUACAUGAAGAGCUGAUACAGUUCCCGGAUUGGCUUUGUUCACUGAAUGUAGGUAAGCUGGGAGACUCGCAUAUCCAUCUUCAGUUGUUCCCCUGACCAAUUGUUGGGCAUAUAUCAAAGAUCUGUAUGAAGUAGUGUAAUCCAUCUUGAUGCCAAACAUAUGUUUCAUUGAAACCCUGACAUGUUCUGGUAUAAGUCCAUCAAUGAUGCCCAAAUGGCUUAUAAACAGCUUGCCAAUAUACUUAGGAGUAGACUUCCCAUGCUGAGCCAUUCGAUGGGUUAUUGAACAUGUGUGGUCUUUCACAUAUUUUGUCACCCAAAAAGUGGAUGCAUCAUUCUUCACGCUUGCUCUAACCAUCCAAGCACAUCCUUCCACUCGACAUUUAGCCACAAACUGGGUCUUGGUAGACUUCUCUGUUUUAAAAGCAAAUUUUAACAUUAUCGCAGUCAAUCUAACCUCUUAUAACAGCUUCUCCUUUGUAGGGAAACUUGCCCUAAGAUAUAUAUUAUCAGACCAUGACAUGGGCGUGCUUCCUGUUUCACCAUAUCUGUUUCUGACAUUUUCAAUACAGACUUCAUCUUCAUCAUCAUCUUCAUCUUUCACUUUACCGUAGACACUGUAAUCUUCUCCGUCAGAGUAAGCUGCAUCGUCGACAUCUUCUUCAUCCUCGUUUACAUCAGAACUGUCUGCCUCAUCAUCGGUAGAAUGUUCUGAAUUUUCCUCAGACUCCUCACCUAAAUUUUCAUCUGAUCCUUCCUGGUUCUCCUCAGUAUCCAUCUCCACUCGACUGGACACACAAAGACGUACCAUAUGCACUCUGCUUAACGCAAUCAAGCUUGAAACUUGUCUAUCAUUGGUGACAUGCAUUGGAGGUGUAUCUGGAGCCAUAGUUUGCAACAUUGAGACUGGUAGUGAGUAGGUUAACUUGAUGAGCUCAGUCUUCUUGCCCAAGUUAUAAUCAUCUCGCGCCAUCUCAGUAAGCUACCCCAAGGUGCAACCAUCGUUCAAAAACCACAUUCUUCCACCUUUGCCCAUGUCAACAACAAAAUGGCAUGAAUUCUCCUCAAUCUUCCACUCCCCAUACACAGCUGGAAUUUGAGCCAUUCUCUGAAAAAAUAACCAUAUAAACUAUAUUAGCAAACACUGCAUACAGACUUUUUGUAUCAAGAGUAGACUUCUCCCGAAAAGAACAUUAGUAGACUACACGACGAAGUCUACUUUGAUAAGCUAAGUAGCUUAAAAAUCGAAACUUCUGAUUCAACAAUAAAUAUCGAAUGAAAUGAAAUGAAAUUCACUGGGUAGUUCAAUCAGUUACGAAGAAGCAAUUCUAAUCCAAAAAUUUUGAAAAAUACUUUAUAAAUUUGCCUAAAACGCGUUUUAAAAAAAACGCCAAAAGUAGACUUCUACAGCAGACUUCAAAUGUAGACUGGAGGAGAAGUCUACUUUUUCAUAGAGAAGUCUACUAAUGAAGUCUACUAAAAAAACAGGUCAUUUUUGCAAUUGACCAAUCUGUUGACUUUCUUUCAGUAGACUUCAAAAGUAGACUUCCGUCCAAAAAUGUUACUUUAGCAUUUGACUGAUGCAUUGACUAACAAAGUAGACUUCUAUUGUAGACUUCAUGUAAGAGUAGACUAAUCUAACAAUCUACUUUUGAAGUCUACGGAAAAAAAUAGGUUAUUUUUGCAAUUGAAUUUUUUUAGUAGACUUCAUUGUGAAGUCUACUCAAAAAAUGAUUCCUUCUAAGUUUGACCGAAAAAUAUAAGUAGACUUCACAAAGAAGUCUACAAACUGUAGACUUCUUUGGGAAGUCUACUGAAGUUUUUCGGAAUUUUUUUAAUUUUUUAAUUUUUAAAAAACAGUAGUCAAACACUAAAAUGACCUAUACGUUUUUGGUCAAACUACAAAACUAACUUUAAGGUAGACUUCUGAUGCAGACGUAAACAGUAGACUUCAUACGGAAGUCUAAAUUCAAAUGUCAAAAUACGGUCAACUAUAAAAAUAACCUCUUUUCUUUAGUCGACUUCUUGAGCCUUCAAACGAAGUAUGCUAAGCUUUUUUUUUGUUUUCAAAGGAUGUCGAGUAGACUUCUCGUGAAGUUUAACGAAGUCUACUUUUAAGAAGUCAAUUGCAAAAAUAACCUUAUGUUGACUAGUAGACUUCAGUAUACUUCACGAGAAGUAUACUUUCGCGAUAUAAAAACUGAAAUGUGGAGAAAUUGAAGUGCGAGGAUUACCUUUAACAAAAUUGAGCUCGCCUAAGUUUUUCUUAAGCACCCAGAACUCAGGAUUUCACCGAAAAUAAACAACCCAGGUGUCGAGUAACCAGAAAUCACUGAAAAUGCAUAGCCCAGAUGUUUUGGAGAAGAAAUUAUGAAAGAAUGAGCAAGGUUAUGAAUGAAUGAGCUCGGAUAUUUACUUAUUACAGCUUUAAAAUUGGUUGAGAAGCAUUUAUUCCCAUUUCGUGGUUGUUCAUGGUGGUUGAAGGAAUUGAAGAAGAUGGCAUUUUUGUAAAUAAAUGGUCUUUAAGAGGACCAAUGAGACUUUACCCAAAUUAAAGAAAAAUUGAAAUAAUAGAUGUAUAAUGGCAUUUUCGUUAAUAGUUUAGGUGGGGAGGAUAAAAUUGUGAGAAAAUGGAUACUUGACCGGUGAAAGUUUUUGUUUUUGAUCAUCUGUGAAUGUUUCAUUUCUAACUAUUUUUUAUAUUAAAACAAAAAAAAACUAUCUAAAAUAUUCUAAUUACAUUGACAAAAGAAAAUUUAAUUAGUCAUAUAUAUAUAUAUAUAUAGUAUAAACGAAGUAAAAUUUUACUUCUAAGCUCUCUCAUUCAAUUUUAGGAUAACUAAUUACUGUGUGAGCCAAAACUCGCACAACCAGAAAUUUGUUUUAAGAAAACUAAGGGAUCGAAAACUUCUAGGGUUUAUCGUCAAGAACAGAAAGAUCGAAAGAAAGUUUUUCUUGCUGUAAAAGUGUUUAGCUCUUAUUGCUUAGGGUUGCAAAAGGUUACAGAAUGAAUUGUAUACAUCAUCUAUUUAUACUAAUUCUCUGAACCGCCUAGCCGAGAAUCUCGGGAGAGAUUUUCGGAAUAUUUCCUUAUCGCCUCGUGCGGCUCACCGCCUUUGUAUUUUGCCUAGGGUUUUAUGGGCUUCGUCUCUCAAGGCCUUGGUUCGGCCCAUUUGAACUUCUCCACGGCUCGGCCCAUCUAAACUUCUCCACGGCUCGGCCCAUCUAAACUUCUCCAUGGCUCGGCACACUUGCCAUUUGAGUCGAGACGUGAUCUGGUCCACCUCACCGAGGCGCGGCUCGGCCCAGGCAUGUUAGAGAGGGGCUCGGCCCAUUUCUUGCGAUACGGCUCGGCCCAUCUCUCUUUCCUCACGGUGCUCCCUACUGGUCUAUCUUCACGGCUCUCCCACUAGGUGAGAACGGCUCUCCCACUUGUCUUGGUGAGAACGGCUCUCCCACUUGUCUUAGUGAGAACGGCUCUCCCACUUGUCUUUCUUCCAUACUAAGUCAUUUUGAGAUGGUUUUAUCUGCGUGGGGUGAAAACCGACCCCAACAGUUAGCUCGUCAGUUUUGGAGGCGAGAGUGACGAGGUCCAUUACUCCUGACCGUAGGAUAAACCAUCGAGUCAAGCUGUUAUGACGUAAGGCCAGAUAAGGUAUUUUGGGAAUGAAGAUGCCGAGGCGUUUCCAAGGAGUGCCGAGGGUGCCGAGGUGUUUCGAAAGGGUACCAAAGAUGCCGAGGCAAGUUUAAGGACGAGGCGAUUUUGUUUGGUAAUGAUGAACGGAGGCGAUUUGAGAAGGUUAUGCCGAGCCAAAUAAAUGGCGAGGCGUUUCGAGAGAAAGUUCAUGCCGAGCCGUUUUUGUUAACGACGAGGCGUUUUGAGAGAAAGUUUGUGCCAAGCCAUUUUUGUUAACGACGAGGCCUUUUGAGAGAAAGAGUUAAUGCCGUGCCGUUUCGUUAACGACGAGGCCUUUUGAGAGAAAGAGUUAAUGCCGUGUCGUUUCGUUAACGACGAGGCCUUUUGGCUUUGCAUGGUGUCGAGCCGUAAGGACGACGAGGCGUUUUAGCUUUUGUUAGCCAAGGAUGAUUUGGUAGUCUCGUUGAAUCUGACUAUGGACCGGCGUUUCCGAGAGGAUGACUAUGCUUGUCGGGUUUAGGAGUUUACUUCGGUUUUAGAGAAAGCGAUGUAGUCUCGGCUUAUAUUCUCGUGUGCGAUAGUAAACCGUGGCGACCUGAUACAUUUUUGGUCUGAUAUUUGUAUAGCGCGCUUAAUUUUUAUCCGUAGAGGAUGUAACUUGCACCCUCGUCCUAGGAAAGGUGGUAAAAGUCCGUUUAGAGAACUUUGUAGUUGUUGCCCCAUUGUGGCCAGCAACGAGACGAGGCAUUCAGUGGCUUAGUUUGCCGAACUGAAAAUGCGGAGCAAUUAAGGUCCGAGGUAACCAAGUCAUGAUUACUCGCCGAAGUGAUGAGUGAAAGAAUUUAAAAAUCAGAGCUUGUUAAAAUAAGUUGCUGAUUUAGAAAGAAUGAGAAACUAGCCGAAGUGAUAAUGAACAAACUGGAAAUCCAAGGUAAACGUGAAAUAAGUAGAUGAUUCAAAACGAGCUGAGAAUGUGCCGAAGUGGCGAUGUUCCUAAGUGAGCGAGCUAAAAAAGCGUUUUCUGUAGAGUUAAAGGAGGUAUGUAUACGUACCCACUCCCCCCCCCCUUUUUAGGAGGGGGACAGCUGAACCCGUCCGAGGACGGGCUGCCUACGUACCCUUCGCAGGGAUCAAGCCGUGCCGUAGUUCAUGUUGGUCGUGCUGUAUCCUUAGUGAUAGUAUUUCUUCAGAUGCAUUGCGUUCCAUGAUCUUGGAAUCGCCUCGUCGGCUAGUGUCGCGAGUUCGUAGACUCCUGGAUGAACCACUUUUGUGACCUUGUAAGGACCUUUCCAAUUUGCUCCGAGCUUUCCUGCGUUUUUCUCGGCAGUGUUUUGGAAGACCUUUCGGAGGACGAGCUCCCCUGCUUUGAAUCUUCGGCUACGAACGUUUUUGUUGUAGUAUCGCGCCGUUGCUUGUUGAUAGUUCUGGAUUCGAAUUAAGGCUUGGUCGCGCUUUUCGUUGAUUAGGUCGAGCUCAUCUAGCAUCAUUAAGUGGUUCAAGCUCUCCUGUCCUGGUAGAAGUCCUCGUCGAAUACCUGGGAAUUACACACUCUGAUCCAUAGACCAAAGCGAAUGGAGUUUCCCCGGUGGCUCGGUGCGGAGUUGUCCGAUGAGACCAAAGGACUCCUUCGAGUUCGUCUGCCCACCGUCCCUUCUUGGCGUCGAGCCUCUUUUUCAGACCGUCGAGGAUCGUCUUGUUGGCUGCUUCGGCUUGUCCGUUCCCUUGAGGGUAUCUUGGCGUAGAUUUGCUGAGGCGGAUUUUCCACUUCUCGCAGAAGGCUUCGAAGCGUGUUGAGAUGAACUGGGAUCCGUUGUCGGUGACUAUCUCGUAGGGGACCCCGUGUCGGCAGAUGAUAUUUUUCCAGACGAAAUGUUCGACUUGAACAUCCUUUAUGCUUGCGUAGGAAUCGGCUUCGACCCACUUGGAAAAGUAAUCCGUGAGGACAAGCAGGAAACGCUUCUGCUUCGAGCGAUGUAGAGGUCUGACGAUGUCCAUCGACCAUCUCAUGAACGGAUAAGGUGAUGAAAUUGACGAGAGCAACUCGGUGGGUUGAUGAAUUGUUGGAGCGUGCCGCUGACACUUCUCGCACUUCGCUGUAAAUUUCUCGCAGUCCUCGAGCCAUUCUUUGUCGCAGCCGUACUCCGGCUCGGCUGGUGAGGCGUCUUCAUCCAUAGGAAUGGCUUCGUCGUCCUCUGGUUCUUGUUCAGGAGGAUUUAUCAGCCAAACUCCUUCCACCUCUUCGAUGCUAGGACGUUCGAUGAAAUCGACUGGGAUCGUUCGUCGGAGGUCUGGGUCCGAGGUCGAAGCGAGUGCUGCCAAGGCGUCGGCCGAGGUGUUUUCUCCUCGGGGAAUGCGAGUGAGUUCGAACUCAUCGAAUUUUGGCACCAACUCUCGGACCACUUUGAGGUAAGCUCCCAUUCGUCCAUCCUUUUCCUCGUAUUCUCCGUUGAACUGACAUGCUACGAGCUGUGAAUCGCAAAAGGUUCUUAUCUUUCAAACUCCGAUUCCCUGCGCUAGUCGUAUGUCGGCGAUCAGUGCUUCGUAUUCCGCUUCGUUGUUCGAGGCGUGGAAGUUCAGGCGAAAAGACUGCUCCAAUAUUUCUCCGGUGGGAGAGGUGAGGCGGAUUCCUAUUCCCGAACCGUGUUUAGUCAACGAGCCGUCGACGUGCAGCGUCCACACUUUGUCUAGAGUCGGCUCGUUUGUUGCUUCGGCGGGAAGUUCAAUGAGGAAAUCUGCGAGCACCUGUGACUUUGCAGACGACCUGUUCCGAUACUCGAUGUCGUAUUCGCUUAGCUCUAUGGCCCACUUGGCGAGCCGACCGGAUUGGCUAGGGCUGUGUAGGAUCGAGCGCAGCGGAAGCAUAGCGAGCACAACAAUCGAAUGUGAUUGAAUGUACGGGCGCAGUUUCCGAGCCGAGACUACGACGGCUAGGGCGACCUUCUCGAUCUGGGGGUAGCGAGUCUCGGCGUUGGUCAAUGUCUGGCUGAUGUAGAAAAUGGGUUUUUGCUCGGAUCGUUCUUCUCUAAUAAGCACUCCGCUUACCGCUGUGGCAGACACUGCGAUGUAGAGGAAGAGCGGCUCUCCUUCGACUGGUUUUGCUAAGAUUGGUGGGCUCGCCAGAUAAUUCUACAAUUCCUGGAAAACCGUCUCACAUAGUUUGUCCCACUCAAAUUUCUUGUUUCCUCGGAGGGUGUCGUAGAAGCGCAGGCAUUUGUCUGUGGAACGGGAAAUAAACCUGUUUAGCGCGGCGACUCUUCCUGUGAGCCUCUGCACUUCGUGCUUCGUCCUUGGAGAGGGCAUCUCGAUUAAAGCCUUGAUCUGCUUUUGGUUUGCUUCUAUGCCUCGGUGAGUUACCAGAUAGCCAAGGAAUUCUCCCGAGGUGACCGCGAACCUGCACUUCGCCGGGUUUAGUUUCAUGUUGUGCUUGUUCAAUUGUUCGAAGCAUUCCCGUAGAUGCGUGACGUGGUCUUCCUCCUUGAGUGAUUUGACUAACAUGUCGUCAAUGUAUACUUCCAUGGUUUUUCCGAGCUGAGCCGCGAACAUUUUAUUGACGAGCCGUUGAUACGUUGCUCCUGCGUUCUUGAGCCCGAACGGCAUGACUUUGUAGCAGUAUAUCCCGCGAUCAGUUAUGAAUGCCGUUUUUUCUCGAUCUUCCGGAUGCAUUAGGAUCUGAUUGUAGCCAGAGAACCGUCCAUAAAUGUUAACAGUCUAUUCCCUGCAGUGGCUUCGACGAGCCGGUCGAUGUGUGGCAAGGGAAAGCUGUCUUUUGGGCACGCCUUGUUGAGGUCGGUGAAAUCCACACAUACUCGCCACUUGCCGUUCUUCUUCUUCACGACCACCGGAUUUGCGAGCCAGUCCGGAUAUUUGGCCUCGGCGAUUGAUCCUACUUUGAGUAACCUUUCGACUUCGUCGUUAACUGCUUUAGCUCGUUCGGGGCCGAGCUUCCUUCUUUUCUGCUUACUGGUUUAAAGGUCGGAUCCACAUUCAGCUCGUGACAGGUCACGUCGAUGCUUAUGCCUGGCAUGUCUUCUGCUGUCUAGGCGAAAGUGUUAUUGUUUUCCUUGAGGAGGGAAAGGAGUUCGCUUCUCAGAGGCUCUUCCAGUUUUGUUCCUAUUUCGACGCAUCGCUCCGGGCGCACCUCAUCUAUACACACCGAGUCCAUUGCGUCGCAUACUGGCUCGGCACGUGUUUCGCGGCUCUCCGCGAUCUGUAAUUACUAUAAAAGUUUUGAGAGCUCGUUCGCGGGCUCUCGGUCUGUCUUCAUCUUUUUGCGGUCGAUGUCUGCUCGUGCGUCGGUGACGGGGUUCCUUAGCUUGUGCUCAGCUAGGCAGCACGUUCAUGACUCCUUCUGAUUCCCCCAGAUCGUUUUAAUACCUGCUGGGGUUGGGAAUUUGAGGCAGAGAUGAUAGGUAGAGGGUACCGCCCUCAUCCCGUUGAUCCACGGAGUUCCCAUGAUCACAUUGUAUAUUGUUGGGUGAUCGGUGACGCAGAAUCCGAUGAUCUUAGUGACUCCGCCAGCUACCACAGGAAGCCUGAUCGUUCCCAUAGUCAUCGUCGUUUCUCCCGAAAAUCCGGUUAGAGGUUUGGGGAUUGCUUCCACCUCGGAGAGGUCGAUUCCCAUUCUUCUGAGUGUUUCCCUAGAGAUGAUGUUCACUGAGCUUCCAGUAUCGAUGAGCACCCUCGCUACGUCGUGAUCCCUGAUCGUUAACUCAAUCACCAACGGAUCGUUAUGAGGUCGAUCGAUUCCUACCGUUUCCUCCUCGGCGAAGGAGAUCGUUGUGUUUGGGAUGUUGGUUGGUUCUGUCCAAUUCUCCUUCGCUUCGGCUCGGCGCUGAUAGGCUUUGAUGGAGGACACGGUAUCUUGGUAGUAUUGGGAUCCACCCAUGAUCAUAUUGAUCCUUUGCCUCGGCUCGGGUUGCUCUUCAGGUUCGCCUCUCCUGUCACGUUUGGGGUUAUCGCCUCGUCGGGGAAGAUUCGCGGGUUCCGCCGCGCCGCUCGGCUCGGCUCUCUCUUGUUGUUCGUUAGGAACAAGGUCUUUGAGGCUGACCGCGUUUUGGAGCUCUCCUGCUGCCAUUUUUGCUGCGAGCUUUGCUUCUAAAGUUCGGCAUUGAGCUGUUGAAUGCCCGUAGGUCUGGUGAUACUCACAGAAAGCCUUCUUGUCGUAGUUGACGGACUUUCUCACCCAAGUGUUGUUGUGCGGCUCUCCUCUUCCGCGUCCGGUAGUUAUGGGCGCCUCCGCUUCUAGGUUCAUCCGAGCUCUGCGUUGACGCGUUGCUCGAUGGGUUGCCCUUCUUCGCGGGGCGCGACAAAAUUGAGCUUCGGAUUGCUGCUUUUGUUGCUUCGUACUGCUCGUCCAAGUUUUUCAUUUCCUCCUCGUUAACGACGAAGUCUGAUGAUCGGUGCAAAGCGUCUUGAAUUGUUUGCGGCGUGUUGAGAGCCAUCUCCCGUCGGAACUCGGAUUUGUACCACAAAGAUCGUUUUAGAGCCUCGAGCGCAGCCCUGUCGCUUAUCCCCUCUAUUUUGGAUAUGACUGCCUUGAAUCUUGCCAUGUAAUCCCGAAGCGGUUCGUUCGGUCCUUGGGAUAGUGUCCAGAGAUCGGCAUCGGAUGUUCCUCUGUCCAUAAACAUCGAGUAUUGCUUAAGGAACAAGGCGGAGAGCUGUUGAAAAUAGCCUAUUGAAUUUCGUUCCUGCCUUGAAAACCACUCGAGUGCAGCUCCCUUGAGAUGCUCCACGAAAAGCAGGCAGUAUCCGGCGUCUACUUCGCGCUUGGUGAGUUUAGCGGCGUUCUUUGUGAAGGCUCGUCCCAUUGCUAUCCGAAACGCUGUGAUGGGUGCUUUCAGGUCGGUUGUUCCUUCGUAGAACGGGAUUCUCACCUUCCCUGGCUCUACCUGCUCGAUCCAUUGGAGGUUUUUUUCCUCCUCGUUUGGAUUGUCGCCGCGGGUCGGAUUGGAGACUUCGUCAGUUCGGAUGCCGUUUAGUGCCGAGGCGAGCUCUUCUUGACUUAUUCGGCGAGCCGAGCCGGUUUGUUGCAGAUUCGUGGUUCCGUUGUUCUGCUGGGCGUCUACGUCGAUCGCAUUGUUUUCUUCUUCGCCGGCUCGUCGCCUCGAGUUUCGGCAGAGAGGGGGCGGCUCGGUCAUGUUGACUCGGGUCGCCGCGGGGGUCUGUUCGUCGAGGAGACGAGACAUUGGAGGAGCCGAGGGGUUUCUUGCGCCGCUCCCUGAGGCUUCUGCAGGUGUCGAGAAAUCGAAGCGUCUCUGGAUUCCAUCCAUCGGGUCGGGAAUUCCGGCUCUCCAAGUUGGGUGCAGUCGCUCGGCCGCCAUCGCGUCGAGCCUCUCCGUAAUCGCCUCGUUUCUUUUAUCCUGUUCGUCGAUUUUCUUCAUCAACGCAGCCAUCAUGUUUCACAUCUCCUCUUGGGUUUCGAUCGUUGCCGUCGUUGUGCCCGAUGCCGGAGCGUCCUUCUCCGCGCCGUUACCGGUGUUGUUGUUGUUGUUGUCGUCGGGGGUGUUGCUCGCCAUGUUCUUCGGAUCUUAAAGUCUUGUCGAUUUAGAGUAAGAAAGUUUCGAUUCCCCACAGACGGCGCCAAAUUGUGUGAGCCAAAACUCGCACAACCAGAAAUUUGUUUAAAGAAAACUAAGGGAUCAGAAACUUCUAGGGUUUAUCGUCAAGAACAGAAAGAUCGAAAAAAAGUUUUUCUUGCUGUAAAAGUGUUUAGCUCUUAUUGCUUAGGGUUGGAAAAGGUUACAGAAUGAAUUGUAUACAUCAUCUAUUUAUACUAAUUCUCUGAACCGCCUAGCCGAGAAUCUCGGAGAGAUUUUUGGAAUAUUUCCUUAUCGCCUCGUGCGGCUCACCGCCUUUGUAUUUCGCCUAGGGUUUUUAUGGGCUUUGUCUCUCAAGGCCUUGGUUCGGCCCAUUUGAACUUCUCCACGGCUCGGCCCAUCUAAACUUCUCCACGGCUCGGCCCAUCUAAACUUCUCCACGGCUCGGCACACUUGCCAUUUGAGUCGAGACGUGAUCUGGUCCACUUCACCGAGGCGCGGCUCGGCCCAGGCGUGUUGGAGAGGGGCUCGGCCCAUUUCUUGCAAUACGGCUCGGCCCAUCUCUCUUUCCUCAUGGCUCGCCCUACUGGUCUAUCUUCACAGCUCUCCCACUAGGUGAGAACGGCUCUCCCACUUGUCUUGGUGAGAACGGCUCUCCCACUUGUCUUAGUGAGAACGGCUCUCCCACUUGUCUUUCUUCCAUACUUAGUCAUUUUGAGAUGGUUUUAUCUGCGUGGGAUGAAAACCGACCCCAACAAUUACUCUUUAACUCUUAUUAAAUCAUCAUAUAUAGUAUAAGCAAAGUAAAAUUUUACUUCUAAACUCUCUUAUUCAAUUUUAGAGUGGCUAAUUACUCUUUAAUCCUCAUUAAAAAUCGGUUAAUACUUUUAUUUCGGUUCAAAUUAAGUUUUUCCAAAAUAAUAAAAUAAUUGUACCGAAUUUUGUUUAUUACUUGGAGAGAACCUGUGCGUAUGCGCGGAUCUUGUUUGAAUUUAUAUUUUAAAUAAUUUGUAUUGAACUUUAAGUUUAUUAUUAAUGUAUUUUUUGUCUAAAAUAGUUAUAUAUUUUUUUCUUCUUGGUGAUAUAUUAUAUGUAAUCUCCUUUACACCAGUUGUAUUAAAUAGUUUUAUUUUUUCUUCGAUCUUUAUAUUCUUUUUAUUCUUGUAAAUCGUACUAAUAUAAUAUUUGUUCAUUUUUUUUAAUUUAAUAUUUAAUUUUUAUUUAGUUAUAUAUAUUUUAUUGAUUUCAUCUUUUUUUAUUACUUAAAAAAAACCAUAGAUGACAUUUUUAUGUGGAUAUCUUUCUUUUUACUAUUAUUUUUAAUAACUUUUAUCUUUUGAAUAGUUUAUUAAAUAUGAUUUGUGUUUUAUAAUUUUAUUAGUUGAAUUUUUAUAUAAGAUUAUUUAAAAAAAUUUAAUUUAUUUAGUCUCAUAAUUUUUUUUCACUUGCAUUAAAAUGUAAUUAUAUUUUUAGUUUAUAAAUGAAGUUUAAAACAUUUUAAAAAAAUCGAAUUGUGCAUUUAAAAAAUCUUGUAUUAUAUAAUAUUUAUAAGUUUGUAUAUAGUUAAAUUAAAUUUGAAUUUUAUUCUAAUAUAAAUAUAUAUCAAUAUUUAUUUAUGUUUUUAAUGUGUUUUAAUGUGUUUUAAUAUGUUUUAAUAUGUUUUAUUGUGUUUACUUUAAAUUUAAUUAAUUAAUUAUUUUAUUAAAUUUGAAGAUGACAGGUGGCGUUCUCUCCAGCGCGCUGAUGUGUCACUCAACUGGAGAGAGUUGGCCAAGUUUUAUAUAUAAGAUUGGGCCUUUUCAUAUUUUGUGAUUAUUGGAUUUGAUUCUUUCUAAUAUCGAUUAAAGGGUUUUGUUUAGGCACAUACAAAAAUUUUGUUCUGUUGUUUGAAAUUCGAACAAAAUUUUUAAUAUAGCUUUAUUUUUCAGGUUUUGUAACUAAGGAUAAACUAAUGUUUAUUUGUUUGAUGAUACAAACUUACACAGGAAAAAGAAGGUGAAGAGUAAACCCAUUACAGAUGUUUUUUUCUCUGAAGGAACUCCAUGCAGCCAUAAACAGUUUUAAUUACGAUUAAAAAAAAACUUGUGGAGGUCGCUUUGGUAGUGUGUAUUGGGGUCAGUUAUGGGAUGGAUCUCAACUAAUGAUCUUUUUAGAUUAUUAACUAGAACUUGCUUGAUAUGGUCGCUUUGAUUUUCAUCUAUUAUAAGUUUUUGCUGUAGAUUGUAGUAGAGUGAUUGAAAGCAUGGAGUAGCAGAGAAGAGAAUUUUUCGCUGUAAAUAGAGAGUUCAAGAGUCAAACCUGUUUCAUAAAAAAUUAUACUUCAAUACCCUACUGAGACGAUAUAAUACAACUGUCAUAUGAAGCUCAUAUAUAUCCGCAGAAAAGGAAAAAUGAAACUGCAGAAACCAGCCAGAAAAUCGAAGAGAAGAGAGUUCAUCUGUUUGGUCUGCUAAUCAAGCAGCCACAGUCGUCGGGCAUCCCUAAGAUUCAAAUAGAAGAAAGAACACUGAGAGUGAAAUGGUACGGCGUUGUAUGUGAUAACUAAAAGUUUUCACUCUUUAAAGAGGUUAUCAAUACCCCUGUCCUUGUAGUACAAGGGGUUAUCAAACCAAACUUGUAGUGGAGACACUAAUCUAUGUUACUUGUGAUCUUAAGUCAAGAUGAAAUGAUAAGGGUUUUAACUAAACUAUUGAACGGGUAAAUAAGCAUGUAAAUGAAGCAAGAGAUGAGAUUUGAACUAAGUAAAGAUGCAAAUGACAAGCAAAUGGUUCGGAUGAUGAUAAUAUAUGAUAAAGGCAGAAGCUUUAGACAGGAUACUUGACUCGGGUGCUUCCAAGCUAAACUAAUGGGUUAAUGAAUCAUUUUAUCAAGCGGUUUCAUUUAACUUUGAACUCAAGGCAUGUUAAUCUUCUCAUGAAAGUAUUAAACAUCUAAACUGAUCCUCUUUCAUACCAAAAUCCCUUUUGAGAGGCAUGAAUCAGUCAGCAAUAAGAUUCAGUUCAAUAUGUCAUUUAAGAGAACAAACUAUCACUCUCGCGAUGAAAGACUCUUAAACCCUUAACCGAGUGGUUCAGACAUUUCUACAAACACUUUUGAUGCGAGAUAUGUCUCAGAUCUGAAUCUCAAGUGAUGUGCUUGGAUCCAGCUUAGAGAUCUCGUUGGUUAAAGAAUGAAACAUGCAAGACUAGACACCUAAACCUAUUAAUCUAUCUUGAAAGCACCCUAAUCUACCUAGCUAAAGCCGCUUAAACGACUACUCACUGAUCAUAACGAGCUCACUCAGUCCUUUGCAAGACGUGUAGCUAGUCAUGAUAAGGAUUUGAUGCUGGAUGAUAAAAGAAAUAAAGAAAGAACAAGAUUCUGAUGCAAAAACGAGAUAUCGGAUUAGAUUAAUCAAGUUUCACAAAAGAGGCAAGUUCUUAAAGCUAAAAGAUGAUAAGAGAUAAGAUGAUUAGGUUUUUGGUCCUAAAAUGUAUUUAUAGUAAAGGGAAAGUGUCGCGGGUCAGCCCGGAACAAACCGGGUACUGAUCCGCCUUCUUGGGUUGAUGGGUGAGUGCAACGGUGUGUCGGAGAGUGAAGCCGAGGCCUUGAUGUCGAGGAGUGCACGUGAGCCAAGAUCCAAAUGGAGGUCUCGUGAAGAACACGUCAAGAACAUGCAUGAACCCUAGUCUUUGAUCCAUCUUCACGUGUGUGUUCUUGAGCCGUCUUGUUCUUGAUUCUGGGGUUGUGACAAGGGACCUCGCCAUAGAAUGUCGCGGGGCUUGGUAGUCGAGGGGUUCGGGAGAACAGAGUCCGGCAUGCACGCCGAGGCCAUUACACCGAGGUGCACGUUCAACACUUAGUCAUUUCUAGCUUCAAUUCUUACGUGUGCAUGCCUUGAUCCCAACGUGCCGAGGCGUCAGCACGAGGUCUAGUCCAAAAUACUCCCAAUAUAUGAGCCUUGACUUGAGCAAUGUCGAGGUGAUGAUGCCGAGGCCUGAGAAAAUACUUAGCGCGUACCGCGACUCAUUUAGGCUCGUGUCGACCAUCUCGCCUUCCGGAAGCAGUAACUUUCAGCACACGACUCCAAUUGCUUCGAGACCAGUUCCAUAGUCGAGAUGACUCGAUAAGCUCGAACUUGGAUGAAGAAACCGUCGGAGCUUGGGAAGUGGAAGGCUUCCUGGAUUUCACAUCUUUGCACCGCAUUGAAAUCACCAAAAAUAAAGCUUUUGGACCGAUGUGAACUCCGGAGACUUUAUCUUUCACACCACUGUUCCGAAUAGAACGAUUCCAACUGUUCUGAGAAGGUCUUUCAGAGAUCUCAAACUUUUAUGAAGACCGGGCAGGUUAGUUCGGACCGGAAAGGCUCCGUCCUUCGUGAUCUUUGAAGUCCGCUGUUCGGUUCUCGAGUACGCGCAGUACUGGUGCAUCUUCCGGAAGCCGUAUCGUUCUCCUCACUGGUCCGAAUUGGAUGAUUCCAACUGUUCCGGGAUAGUUGCUUGAUUAUCUCCAACUUUGAUGAAGACCCCGCCAACUGAUUCGGACCGGAAGGUUCCCCGGAUUGCUGAUCUUCGAAACGCGCGGCCAAGGACAGGUAUUAGCCGAGAAAAGCUUCCCGCGGUAAGGAAAAUGACCGAGGGAUAUGUACCGCGGUAAGCUUUUUAACCGUAAAAUUCCUCUCGCCUCGGCCAAAAAAUUAACCCGAGGUAAUUUGCACCCGAUACUCGACCUUGGCCGAUUUUGGACGAUCGGUAAGGGUUUUGGCCGAUAAUGAGCGUUCGGUAAGCUUUUUGACCGAGGUUUCUGUCCAGCCGGUAUGAGUUUUGGCCGAGAAAUUCCUCCAAGCGGUUUUCACCAUUUUUGACCCUUUUCUUCACCGUUUUCUUUCCUGCUCCUCUUCUUAAGCUCCAAAUGGCUUCCAAAACACCUGAUAAAGACUUCAAAACAUGCAAAAACUCUUUGGGACCUAAUGCAAACCCUAAAUCCUAUUUAGAUGCCUAAAGACUCAAUUUACAUGGGAAAACACAUGAUGAGAACUCUAAAAUGCAAUCUAAAUGAUGCAAAAUAUAGACAUAUCAACUCCCCCACACUUGUCCUUUGCUUGUCCUCAAGCGAAAAGAACAAAUGAGAGAGAGAGGUUGUAGUGCAGAUGGAGCUCAUAUUUUCUUUUUAGAGAGAAGUGAUCACAAUAAGAACUCGGAUUCAUGCUCAAAUAUGCAAUGCAAAGCUAUACUCAGAUAUUUUCCAAAUAAAGCACGGAAUCUCCACAAGUCAUCAUCACAUUCAACUCUUUCACAAUCAUUAAGUUUGUAACCGGUGAAUCAAAUGAUGCAAUGUUCAAAUAGGCUGGCUUGGCUAGGGUAAGGUCAUGAGAUAAAAAUGAUCUCAUCAAUAUUCAAGCGGGAGCAAUGCAGCAAAGGGAUCUCUCUAUGAACGACCAAACUUUGGCAGAAUGCUAAAGGUAAAAAGUAACCUAUGCAUACAAGGGCAAGACUCAUCACACCCCACACUCCACUCAAAGCUUUCUCACUUGCUCACCCUCUCAAGAUCCUCACUCUUCUCAAUCGUUUUCUUUUCACUAGGGGACUCAUUUUUUGCUUUCAUUCUCAAGUCUUGGAAUUCAUUUAUUCGCAUAGCUCUUCCCUUUCACAGCGAAUAGCCUCUUUUCUUUUUGUUUUAGAACACUUGAGCCUUUUUGGCUUCUUUUCAUUUCAGAGACUAAAUUUUUCUUUUAAAAACAUCAGAGCUCAUCUUUUCAAAUCCAAGACUCAAUUCUUUUUCUUUCAUCCCCCUAGCUAUUUCCACUUUCUCUUUUCCACUCAACUCACCUUUUUCCACUCACCAACAAGUCUUUUCCCCCACACUUAUUCCUUGCCAAUACUCUCAGUUCCUUGAUGUUGGAACAUUGCACUCAAUGAGACAUGCCCUUGUCGCUCUAAACCUAACACUUUCUUCUAAGUUCAGUCCAAGGUGGCCUUACAAUUCACACACAAACAUUGGCUCAAAAGAAAGAUGGGUUCAAGGUGAGGGAACUGAUCCAUGAUGCGGAUUCAGCUACUUGAGCUAAGGAAGGAGGGUGGUAAAAACAGCGAUUCUAGCUCAAGUAUGUAUAUCGGUAUCCACAAGCCUAUUCAAGCAAUGCAUCAAAAGAUAUUUUCAAUUCAAGUUCAGGGUUAUCACUUAGUUAGAGUUGAGUGUAAUUCAAACUUGCUUCUCAAAUUCAAAUCGUUGCAAGCUUUACAAGCACAGAAUGAGUUUCACAAGCAUAUUUAGUUCAAGUUCUCAAGUGAUUUAUUCUCUAGGAAAAAAAUCUAUCAUUGCUCCUUGCACUGAUGCAAUCCUACAUGAUGCAACUAGACUCGAUCUUAGAAUGCGAGAUGCAACUAGAAUGAUGCAUUUUUUGUGAAAUUUUUCAAUUUAUCAUAUGUACUAAGCUAGAUGAGACUCAAGAAUGCAAAAGUCAAAUAAGAACAAAGAAAACAAGAUCAGAAAACACAAAGCUCCUCCCUUACACUUAAAUAACACAGUCCCUUGUGUUAUAAAAGCGGGUGAGAGAAGUAAAAAGACAAACUAAACAAAUGCAGGAUGGUAUAUACAAGAUGCAUAUUUACAAGGUUUGAAGUCGAUACCUCAGUCUGAGAGGUCUGAUCCCAAGUAGUGCGAGGGAUUUGACGUUGAGCAGGAGGGUGUGGACUGACGUGGUGGGCUGCUCUCCGAGGGUUCAGGUAAGAAAGCUGUGGCAGGAUCGAUCCAGUCCUCUUUGCCUGGUGGAAACUCCGGGUUCCUCGCGUUUGAGCUUUCUCAAACCUCUUCUUGUGUAACCGGUGCGGUUGAGGUCGCCGAGUUCUUAUCCGGUGAGGAUGGCCUGGUUAGUUGCUUGACCUUCUUUUUCAAGUGCCUAGUCCACCAACGCGUGAAUGGUCUUGUCUUGCCACUUACACCACUUUUGGAGGGUGUUUACUCUCGAAUACAGCUUCUUGGUGUGGCCUGCUCCAAUCCUUCUCUCAGCGUGUCUCUGUUCCUCAUUCUCACAUCCGGCCGGGCCAUUCUUGUUCUGAGGCUUGCUAGGUGCGGCCUUGGUGCACUUGCGCAUUUGUGGGUCGAGAGAUGGGUUGUACAACUGAUCUUUGAGGACAUAGAAGGAGACGUUACACUGCUUAUCAAGCAUGGUGAGGCCUCGGUUAGGCACUAGAACCUGUGUGCCGUCUCUGUGCAUCAGUGUGAAGUUGUAAACCCAUCUGUCUCCUGACUUGCCUCUGAAGAAUCCACUUUUACUUAGAUAUUGCUCAUCAAUGAGAUUCGGCCUUGAUGGUUAAUCAGGGAAUAUGAACCCUUGAGCUCUCAAAAUCUUAGUGACAAUCCAACCGUUCUGAAGCCUCCUUGCUCCUUUCUUCUUUCAGUCGCACCAGACAUUGUGCCUAUAAGUAAGCAUUUGAAUCGCAAAGAACGCGCCUAAAGAGGGUACAUGCAUUGGCCCUUGGAACUCCUUGUUCUUCAUUUGAGUGAUGAGCGGCUUCAGUCCAAGUCCUAACAGUUCAAGCUCGCCUAAGUUUCUCUUAAGCACCCAGAACUCAGGAUUUCACCGAAAAUAAACAACCCAGGUGUCGAGUAACCAGAAAUCACUGAAAAUGCAUGGCCCGACGCAUUGUAACUUAGCCCAGAUGUUUUGGAGAAGAAAUUAUGAAAGAAUGAGCAAGGUUAUGAGUGAAUGAGCUCAGAUAUUUACUUAUUACAGCUUUAAAAUUGGUUGAGAAGCAUUUAUUCCCAUUUCGUGGUUGUUCAUGGUGGUUGAAGGAAUUGAAUAAGAUGGCAUUUUCGUAAAUAAAUGGUCUUUAAGAGGACCAAUGAGACUUUACCCAAAUUAAAGAAAAAUUGAAAUAAUAGAUGUAUAAUGGCAUUUUCGUUAAUAGUUUAGGUGGGGAGGAUAAAAUUGUGAGAAAAUCGCAAAACUUGGAGAGAAAAAAAAAGAGGUUAGUUUGGUGUUUGACUUUGAAAUAUAGGUUAAAUCUGAAACUCUCCCUAUUAUUUAAGUUUAAAUAUUUAAACUUUAGACUUAUUUAAUAAAAAUAUACAAUAAUAUAUCAUUUUCAUAUCUGUUAUUGAAAUUAUUAUUUAAAUUUUAAUAUUUAAAUUAAAUUUAAAUUAAUAUCUGGGUUAUUAUUUUUUUAAAGAUAUAAUAAUAUUUUUUUAUAAUUUUUUAUAAUUUAACCUAUAUUUAAGGAAAUCAAUAACAAAUCUAAAUUAAAAACUAAAUUUUUGUGAUUUAUAUUAAAUUAGAAAUUAAAAUACAUUAUUUUAUUAAUAUUACACUAAAUUAAAUUAUUUAGUAAAUCUAAAUUUAAAUCAAUAUUUUUGUUUGACAACAAAAAUAACAGUUAUCCAAAAACAAAAUUAUAAGAAACCAAUUAAAAAUUCUGUUUGGACACAAAACACACUUCUCUUUUAAUAGUACAGAUAAGGUUUUAUUUUCCUUUUUAAUAAAUUAUAGGGUCACAUUUUUUUUUGGUCCACCAUUCUUGUUGGACCAGUGAAAGUUUUUGUUUUUGAUCAUCUGUGAAUGUUUCAUUUCUAACUAUUUUUUAUAUUAAAACAAAAAAAACUAUCUAAAAUAUUCUAAUUACAUUGACAAAAGAAAAUCUAAUUAGUCAUAUAUAUAUAUAUAUAUAUAGUAUAAACGAAGUAAAAUUUUACUUCUAAGCUCAGGAUAACUAAUUACUCUUUAACUCUUAUUAAAUCAUCAUAUAUAGUAUAAGCAAAGUAAAAUUUUACUUCUAAACUCUCUUAUUCAAUUUUAGAGUGGCUAAUUACUCUUUAAUCCUCAUUAAAAAUCGGUUAAUACUUUUAUUUCGGUUCAAAUUAAGUUUUUCCAAAAUAAUAAAAUAAUUGUACCGAAUUUUGUUUAUUAUUGGGCCUUUUCAUAUUUUGUGAUUAUUGGAUUUGAUUCUUUCUAAUAUCGAUUAAAGGAUUUUGUUUAGGCACGUACAAAAAUUUUGUUCUGUUGUUUGAAAUUCGAACAAAAUUUUUUAUAUAGCUUUAUUUUUCAGGUUUUGUAACUAAGGAUAAACUAAUGUUUAUUUGUUUGAUGACACAAACUUACACAGGAAAAAGAAGGUGAAGAGUAAACCCAUUACGGAUGUUUUUUUCUCUGAAGGAACUCCAUGCAGCCAUAAACAGUUUUAAUUACGAUUAUAAAAAAACUUGUGGAGGUCGUUUUGGUAGUGUGUAUUGGGGUCAGUUAUGGGAUGGAUCUCAACUAAUGAUCUUUUUAGAUUAUUAACUAGAACUUGCUUGAUAUGGUCGCUUUGAUUUUCAUCUAUUAUAAGUUUUUGCUGUAGAUUGUAGUAGAGUGAUUGAAAGCAUGGAGUAGCAGAGAAGAGAAUUUUUCGCUGUAAAUAGAGAGUUCAAGAGUCAAACCUGUUUCAUAAAAAAUUAUACUUCAAUACCCUACUGAGACGAUAUAAUACGAAGAUCAUAUGAAGCUCAUAUAUAUCCGCAGAAAAGGAAAAUUGAAACUGCAGAAACCAGCCAGAAAAUCGAAGAUAAGAGAGUUCAUCUGGUUGGUCUGCUAAUCAAGCAGCCACAGUGGGCAUCCCUGAGAUUCAAAUAGAAGAAAGAACACUGAGAGUGAAAUGGUACGGCGUUGUAUGUGAUAACUAAAAGUUUUCACUCUUUAAAGAGAUUAUCAAUACUCCUUGUAGUACAGGGGGUUAUCAAACCAAACUUGUAGUGGAGACACUAAUCUAUGUUACUUGUGAUCUUAAGUCAAGAUGAAAUGAUAAGGGUUUUAACUAAACUAUUUAACGGGUAAAUAAGCAUGUAAAUGAAGCAAGAGAUGAGAUUUGAACUAAGUAAAGAUGCAAAUGACAAGCAAAUGGUUCGGAUGAUGAUAAUAUAUGAUAAAGGCAGAAGCUUUAGACAGGAUACUUGACUCGGGUGCUUCCAAGCUAAACUAAUGGGUUAAUGAAUCAUUUUAUCAAGCGGUUUCAUUUAACUUUGAACUCAAGGCAUGUUAAUCUUCUCAUGAAAGUAUUAAACAACUAAACUGAUCCUCUUUCAUACCAAAAUCCCUUUUGAGAAGCAUGAAUCAGUCAGCAAUAAGAUUCAGUUCAAUAUGUCAUUUAAGAAAACAAACUAUCACUCUCGCGAUGAAAGACUCUUAAACCCUUAACCGAGUGGUUCAGACAUUUCUACAAACACUUUUGAUGCGAGAUAUGUCUCAGAUCUGAACCUCAAGUGAUGUGCUUGGAUCCAGCUUAGAGAUCUCGUCGGUUAAAGAAUGAAACAUGCAAGACUAGACACCUAAACCCAUUAAUCUAUCUUGAAAGCACCCUAAUCUUCCUAUCUAAAGCCGCUUAAACGACUACUCACUGAUCAUAAAGAGCUCACUCAGUCCUUUGCAAGACGUGUCGCUAGUCAUGAUAAGGAGUUUGAUGCUGGAUGAUAAAAGAAAUAAAGAAAGAACAAGAUUCUGAUGCAAAAACGAGAUAUCGGAUUAGAUUAAUCAAGUUUCACAAAAGAGGCAAGUUCUUAAAGCUAAAAGAUGAUAAGAGAUAAGAUGAUUAGGUUUUUGGUCCUAAAAUGUAUUUAUAGUAAAGGGAAAGUGUCGCGGGUCCGCCCGGAACAAACAGGGUACUGAGCCGCCUUCUUGGGUUGAUGGGUGAGUGCCACGGGGUGUCGGAGAGUGAAGCCGAAGCCUUGAUGUCGAGGAGUGCACGUGAACCAAGAUCCAAAUGGAGGUCUCGUGAAGAACACGUCAAGAACAUGCAUGAACCCUAGUCGUUGAUCCAUCUUCACGUGUGUGUACUUGAGCCGUCUUGUUCUUGAUUCGGAGGUUAUACAAGGGACCUCGCCAUAGAAUGUGGCGGGGCUUGGUAGUCGAGGGGUUCGGGAGAACAGAGUCCGGCAUGCACGCCAAGGCCAUUACACCGAGGUGCACGUUCAACACUUAGUCAUUUCUAGCUUCAUUUCUUACGUGUGCAUGCCUUGAUCCCAACGUGCCGAGGCGUCAGCACAAGGUCUAGUCCAAAAUACUCCCAAGAUAUGAGCCUUGACUUGAGCAAUGUCGAGGUGAUGAUGCCGAGGCCUGAGAAAAUACUUAGCGCGUACCGCGACUCAUUUAGGCUCGUGUCGACCAUCUCGCCUUCCGGAAGCAGUAACUUUCAGCACACGACUCCAAUUGCUUCGAGACCAGUUCCAUAGUCGAGAUGACUCGAUAAGCUCGAACUUUGAUGAAGAAAACGUCGGAGCUUGGGAAGUGGAAGGCUUCCUGGAUUUCACAUCUUUGCACCGCAUUGAAAUCACCGGAAAAUAAGCUUUUGGACCGAUGUGAACUCCGGAGACUUUAUCUUUCAAACCACUGUUCCGAAUAGAGCGAUUCCAACUGUUCUGCGAAGGUGUUUCACAGAUCUCAAACUUUUAUGCAGACCGGGCAGGUUAGUUCGGACCGGAAAGACUCCGUCCUUCGUGAUCUUUGAAGUCCGCUGUUCGGUUCUCGAGUAUGCGCAGUACUGGUGCAUCUUCCGGAAGCCGUAUCGUUCUCCUCACUGGUCCGAAUUGGAUGAUUCCAACUGUUCCGGGAUCUUUGCUUGAUUAUCUCCAACUUUGAUGAAGACCCCGCCAACUGAUUCGGACCGGAAGAUUCCCCGGAUUGCUGAUCUUCGAAACGCGCGGCCAAGGACAGGUUUUAGCCGAGAAAAGCUUCCCGCGGUAAGGAAAAUGACCGAGGGAUAUGUACCGCGGUAAGCUUUUUAGCCGUAAAAUUCCUCUCGCCUCGGCCAAAAACUUAACCCGAGGUAAUUUGCACCCGAUACUCGACCUUGGCCGAUUUUGGUCAAUCGGUAAGGGUUUUGGCCGAUAAUGAGCGUUCGGUAAGCUUUUUGACCGAGGUUUCUGUCCAGCCAGUACGAGUUUUGGCCGAGAAAUUCCUCCAAGCGAUUUUCACCAUUUUUGACCCUUUGCUUCACCGUUUUCUUUCCUGCUCCUCUUCUUAAGCUCCAAAUGGCUUCCAAAGCACCUGAUAAAGACUUCAAAACAUGCAAAAACUCUUUGGGACCUAAUGCAAACCCUAAAUCCUAUUUUGAUGCCUAAAGACUCAAUUUACAUGGGAAAACACAUGAUGAGGACUCUAAUAUGCAAUCUAAAUGAUGCAAAAUAUAGACAUAUCAACUCCCCCACACUUGUCCUUUGCUUGUCCUCAAGCGAAAAGAACAAAUGAGAGAAAGAGGUUGUAGUGCAGAUGGAGCUCAUAUUUCCUUUUUAGAGAGAAGUGAUCACAAUAAGAACUCAGAUUCAUGCUCAAAUAUGCAUUGCAAAGCUAUACUCAGAUAUUUUCCAAAUAAAGCACGGAAUCUCCACAAGUCAUCAUCACAUUCAACUCUUUCACAAUGAUGCAAUGUUCGUAACCGGUGAAUCAAAUGAUGCAAUGUUCAAAUAGGCUGGCUUGGCUAGGGUAAGGUCAUGAGAUAAAAAUGAUCUCGUCAAUAUUCAAGCGGGAGCAAUGCAGCAAAGGGAUCUCUCUAUGAACGACCAAACUUUGGCAGAGUGCUAAAGGUAAAAAGUAACCUAUGCAUACAAGUGCAAGACUCAUCACACCCCACACUCCACUCAAAGCUUUCUCACUUGCUCACCCUCUCAAGAUCCUCACUCUUCUCAAUCGUUUUCUUUUCACUAGGGGACUCACUUUUUGCUUUCAUUCUCAAGUCUUGGAAUUCAUUUAUUCGCAUAGCUCUUCCCUUUCACAACGAAUAGCCUCUUUUCUUUUUAUUUUAGAACACUUGAGCCUUUUUGGCUUCUUUUCAUUUCAGAGACUAAAUUUUUCUUUUAAAAACAUCAGAGCUCAUCUUUUCAAAUCUAAGACUCAAUUCUUUUUCUUUCAUCCCCCUAGCUAUUUCCACUUUCUCUUUUCCACUAAACUCACCUUUUUCCACUCACCAACAAGCCUAUUCAAGCAAUGAAUCAAAAGAUAUUUUCAAUUCAAGUUCAGGGUUAUCACUUAGUUAGAGUUGAGUGUAAUUCAAACUUGCUUCUCAAAUUCAAAUCGUUGCAAGCUUUACAAGCACAGAAUGAGUUUCACAAGCAUAUUUAGUUCAAUUUCUCAAGUGAUUUACUCUCUAGGAAAAAAAUCUAUCAUUGCUCCUUGCACUGAUGCAAUCCUACAUGAUGCAACUAGACUCGAUCUUAGAAUGCGAGAUGCAACUAGAAUGAUGCAUUUUUUGUGAAAUUUUUCAAUUUAUCAUAUGUACUAAGCUAGAUGAGACUCAAGAAUGCAAAAGUCAAAUAAGAACAAAGUAAACAAGAUCAGAAAACACAAAGCUCCUCCCCCACACUUAAAUAACACAGUCCCUUGUGUUAUAAAAGCGUGUGAGAGAAGUAAAAAGACAAACUAAACAAAUGCAGGAUGGUAUACAAGAUGCAUAUUUACAAUGUUUGAAGUCGAUACCUCAGUCUGAGAGGUCUGAUCCCAAGUAGUGCGAGGGAUUUGAUGUUGAGCAGGAGGGUGUGGACUGACGUGGUGGGCUGCUCUACGAGGGUUCAGGUAAGAAAGCUGUGGCAGGAUCGAUCUAGUCCUCUUUGCCUGGUGGAAACUCCGGGUUCCUCGCGUUUGAGCUUUCUCCAACCUCUUCUUGUGUAACCGGUGCGGUUGAGGUCGCCGAGUUCUUAUCCGGUGAGGAUGGCCUGGUCAGUUGCUUGACCUUCUUUUUCAAGUGCCUUACACAGUCCACCAACGCGUGAAUGGUCUUGUCUUGCCACUUACACCGCUUUUGGAGGGUGUUUACUCUCGAAUAAAGCUUCUUGGUGUGGUAUUCAGGCUCACCCCACACGUAUGGAUCAAAGUGAUAUCGGCCUGCUCCAAUCCUUCUCUCAGCGUGUCUCUGUUCCUCAUUCUCACACUAGCCGGGCCAUUCUCGUUCUGAGGCUUCCUAGGUGCGGCCUUGGUGCACUUGCGCAUUGGUGGGUCGAGAGAUGGGUUGUACAACUGAUCUUUGAGGACAUAGAAGGAGACGUUACACUGCUUAUCAAGCAUGGUGAGGCCUCGGUUAGGCAGUAGAACCUGUGUGCCGUCUCUGUGCAUCAGUGUGAAGUUGUAAACCCAUCUGUCUCCUGACUUGCCUCCGAAGAAUCCACUUUUACUUAGGUAUUGCUCAUCAAUGAGAUUCGGCCUUGAUGGUAAAUCAGGGAAUAUGAACCCUUGAGCUCUCAAAUCUUAGUGACAAUCCAACCGUUCUGAAGCCUCCUUGCUCCUUUCUUCUUUCGGUCGCACCAGACAUUGUGCCUGUAAGUAAGCAUUUGAAUCGCAAAGAACGCGCUUAAAGAGUGUACAUGCAUUGGCCCUUGGAACUCCUUCUUGUUCUUCAUUUGAGUGAUGAGCGGCUUCAGUCCAAGUCCUAACAGUUCAAGCUCGGCCGUAUGAAUAACACCAGGGUUAUAUGUCGAGAAGAAUGUAGAGGCUAGAACUCGGUUCGUGUAUCUGAUCGCAGGGUUUCUGAUGCAACUCUUCUUGCUCUUGCCUCCCAAGUAAGGUCCAAAAGCGAUUGUUUCCCACAGGGCAGCCAACUCUUCUUUUGGGUACACAAAUUUGUCAAGUGAGCUACCGUUCCUCUCAAAACCAAAUAUCUCGUCAAGCUCCUUGAAACUGACCUUGUAGUGCACGCAUUCCAUGUCAAACUCUAUGUGGCCUAAUCCUUUGCCAUGUAAUCGUUUGGGAUCUCUCUUGGGGUAGAUGACAACCUCCAAAGUGGCAAGAAACUGUUGUGUGAUCCCCUCAUAAGCAACAUCGCUCAUCUCAAAGAACUCGGCCAAGCCCAUGUUUCGAAAGAUGAGGGUAACAUCGUCAAGUAUCUCAAGCUUUCUCAACAACUCCAUAUCAGGAAACCGACCUUGUGCCACUCUUAUAGAGUUAAAGUGGUCCAAGUACUCCUCAGUAGUUGGGAAAUGCUUUUCCUCGGGUUCGGCCUUUGUUUCCUUCUUUGGCCUCUUGCCACAAUCGGUUUCAUGAGGGACCAGGGCUCUCAGCUCAUCUUCAUCGUUUCCAGUAGCUGCCUGCUUCCCAUUCCUUCUUGAUUCAAGGGCUGGUGCAGGAAUGAGCUCGGCGUUCCUUGUUCGUUUAGCGGCUGGCUCGCCAUCGGGUCUUGUUGAGGGUUUCUUGCUUGUUCCACCAUUACGUGCCAAGGCAACAGCUUUUCCUUUCGUACCCCUCCUCUGGACCUCGCUUUAGUUCAUCUCACGAGCAGGAACGGUUCGUUCGUCGGUCAUCUGCAAGAGAGAUUCUCAAGAAAACCAUUAGAAUUAAGUAUAUCGCUAAGAACAUGUAUCUCAAGAUGGCAAGAACAGAGCUUUUUCUCUAACAAGACCGGUUUUAUAGCUUCUUCAAACAUCAAAGAGAUUAACAACGAGCUAGAACAACCAGUGAGAGGCAAGAUAUCUAGACAGUUCAGCACAUAACUCAGUUCACAUUUAAAGCCGGUUCCAAGCGCAUUUUCUCAAGAAUUUUAAAAACUCAAGAACAAGUGAUUUUCAGAGCAAAGACCAGUUUUGCAUGUGUUGUCUAUCGUGAUGGAAUUUUUAAAAUUGUUCCCAAAGGCCGAUACGUUCUAAAAGAAUCGAUUCCACAUUUUACAAACAUUAAAGCUCGCAAAUAAUGAAGGAAAAAGAUGAGUUCUUUGAGAUGCAAAUACCUUUGGGAAUCCAAGGUUCAAGCUUAGUGAGAUGCUUAUGCAGAAUAGACAACACCCUAACGAGUCUAGAGCACUUGGAAUCACGUGAAAUGAAUGAGAAAUGAGAGAGUCGUGUUCGCAAAAUGUAGAGAAAAGAGUGAAGAAGGCAAAUUCUGCGUUUUGGCUCGGUAUGUAGGCUGAUAUGGGCUGGGGCGCGCUUUCCAGCUGGCAUUUGGACUGUUGUGGGACUGGUCCCCCUCUCUGCUCUAACUCCAGCCGUUGACCGCGCCAAAAACGCUCUUGACCAGGCGUUUAAAUUCAAAAUGCCGCGCAAAGCCUUCAAAUGGACGCGGUAUGGGAAUGACGUGGGCCGUACGGUCUAAACCGAUUUUUCUCGUGUUAACUUGAGCGGCCUCGACCUGUUCCACCACGAGGGCACCAAGCCGAGUGGAAUGAGCUCAUGCUAAUGAGUAAAUCUCCGUGGCCUCAAAGUCUUUUCCAUGGACCGCGCAAAGCCUCUUUUUCGAUCUAAGUGUUCCGAGUGUUCUUGUUUUUGUUCGUUCUUGAAACCGGGCAUCUCGGCAUGCUCCACCACGAGGGUAUCAUGCCGAGGUCACUUGUUUUAACAAAGAACACUUGGUGCUUGGGGGUUUAAACGGGCUGGCCUUGGUGUAAACUAGUCGCGGCCUCGGAUCGAGGUUUUUGACCGUUUUAAUUAAACAUCGCUCCUCGGUAUAAUUAUACCGAGGUGUUUACACCGUGAGCCUCCCCCACACUUAGUCAUUUCACCACUUCUCUUCACAUACACGGCAAUGAUGGAAAUAAGUCGAGGAGUUUAGCUGAGGUUCUCAAGCUUACACUCGGUAAAAGAUGACCGCGGUAUGAAUAUACCGAGGGUCGAUACCGAGGCUAUGAAUAUUCUCUGACUUAAGUCAUCAGACCGUGUCUGUUUCAAGCUUUUCUCUCAAGGCUCACUGUCUAACUCCUGAAACACUUAACAAACCCUUCAAAAAGCUUUAAAUAAAAGAAAAAAAAAAAGAAGAUGAAAAACGAAAUAUGUACAAGGAUAGGCUUGGGGUGUCUCCCAAGAGCACUUUGUUUAACGUCUCUAAGUUUGACUUUUCAUACCCUUUUAGGCUGAUUCCGGUUCAAGAAGAGGAACUGAGGUAGCUCCCUCUCUUGUUUCUGAUGCCAAGUAAUGCUUUACCCUCUGAGCGUUUACCACAAAACCUUGCCCAUCUUUUCCUUUUAGAACCACGGCUCCAUAGGGCCUUACUUCAAGAAUUGUGAACGGACCGAACCACCUAGACCUCAGCUUCCCAGGGAAUAGCUUAAGUCUUGAGUUAAACAACAGAACUUGGUCCCCUUCUUUGAACUCUCUCUUGUGUAUCUUCUUGUCAUGGAGCGCCUUGGUCUUUUCCUUAUAGAUUUUAGAGCUCUCAAAAGCGUCUAAACGGAUUUCCUCAAGCUCGUGAAGCUGUAAAACUCUCUUCUCUUGUGCAGUCUUGAUAUCAAAGUUCAGAAGUUUUACUGCCCAAAGAGCUUUGUACUCCAGCUCAACCGGUAAAUGGCAGCUUUUCCCAUAGAGCAAGUUAAACGGUAAGGUUCCAAUGGGGGUCUUGUACGCGGUCCUGUAAGCCCACAAAGCAUCAUCAAGUUUCCUGCUCCAAUCCUUUCUAGACGAGCUCACGGUUCUCUCCAAAAUGGCCUUUAUCUGUCGGUUAGAAACCUCCACUUGGCCGCUGGUUUGUGGAUGAUAAGGGCUGGCCACCUUGUGCUUUACUCCGUGCUUCUUCAGAAGACUCUCAAGGGUCUUGUUGAUGAAAUGGCUUCCUCCAUCACUGAUAACUACUCUUGGGACUCCAAACCGUGGGAAAAUGAUACUCUUGAAGAGUUUUACCACCACUUUUGAAUCGUUGGUCGGAGAUGUGACUGCUUCAACCCAUUUACUCACAUAGUCCACCGCGACAAGGAUAUACUGGUUCCCGUAUGAGCUUACAAAGGGACCCAUGAAGUCAAUGCCCCAACAGUCGAAGACCUCUACUUCAAAAAUUGGAUUUUGGGGCAUCUCAUUCCUCUUGGAUAUGUUACCGUGCCUUUGACAAGCUUCACACCUCGAGACUACAUCUUGAGCGUCCUUGAACAUAGUCGGCCACCAGAAACCGCUUUGUAAAACCUUGGCAACCGUCUUGAAUGCACCUAGGUGACCACCAUAUGAUGAACCGUGGCAUUCUUAUAGCACCGGAUGGAUCUCUUCUUCGGCCAAGCAUUGCCUAAAGAGAUGGUCUUUGUUAAGCACGUAAAGAUAUGGCUCAUCCCAAUGAUAUCUCAUGACAUCUCUAAAGAACUUCUUCCUCUGAUAAGUGUCAAGAUCUGGUGGCUCUAAACCGCAAGACAAGUAGUUCACUAGAUCUGCGAACCAUGGAAGGCUUCUUUCCUUGAUCGUGUUGGCCUCCUCCACUUCUAAGUAAGACCUGACUAGCAUGAGGGUUUCCUCCGGUAAAGCAUCAUCAAUGGGGACCCGUUCUUCAAUCCUCAGCCUUGAGAGAUGAUCUGCGGCUCCGUUUUCAAUGCCCUUCUUAUCAAGUAUCUCCAUGUCAAAUUCUUGGAGCAAUAAGACCCAUCUUAACAGUUGAUAUAUUCAUAAAUUGCAUCAUUUAAUGUACAUAUUCUAGUCCAAAUCAUGUCUCAUUUGCAUGCAUUUUAGGUGUUUAAGCAUUGUUUUAGGACUUAGGAGAUUGCAUUAGGUCCAAGAGAGUUUUGCAUGUUUUGGAGUGUUAAACAGGUGCUUUUGGAGUUUAUUUGGAGUGGAGGAUGUGAUUCAGAUGAAGAAAUGGAGUUGAAAUGAUCAAAAAUGGUGAAAAGGAGCAAUUUUGGGUUUCUCGGCAAAAUGAUAUACUGAUGGCCGAAGAUUCUCGGCCAAAAUCCUUCCCGCGGGUAGCUUUCUCGGCCAAAAACACGUACCGCGGUCAAGUCUCUCGGCCAAAAUUCCCGGGUGCAGAUAUAUUUCCGAAAUCGCGUUACCGGAAGCUCUUGCCGGCAGAUUCAGCUGUCGGAGUCUUCAUAAAAGUUUGAGAUAAUUGAGUCAAGAGUUCAUAACAGUUGGAAUCAAGGCAUUUGGACCACGGAACUGAAAGAUAUGGUAAUCGUAAGACGAACAGGUCUCGCACUCAUUCCGGAGCAAUCCGAUACCCCUGAAUGAUCGCCUGUCCGGGGAGCCUUCCGGUCCGAUUCAGACGGUGGCUGCUUCAUAGAAGUUGGAGAGCAUUGCAUCACGGUCUCUUAGCAAGUGUAAUCGUGGAAUUCGGACGCGUGAGCAGAGAGAUAAGCUUGUCGGAAGGAACCCCAGUCUCGCAGGUAUUCCGGACCGAGCAGAUCAGUUCUAAAGGAUGCGAAGGACGGUGCAUUUCCAGGCCGAUUUAGUUUCCGGGUCCUUCAUGAGAACCAGAGACAUUUGAGUCUUCUUUCCAGAACGUCCAAGAGCAUUCAAUUCAGAUCUAUGAGCCGAAAGAUACGGUCUCCGGAAUGGACACAUGUCUAGACGCCUCUCUCUGGUCGUGUACAUGCACUGCAAAGAUGUGCCCUACAGGAAGCCUUACACUUCCCAAGAACCGAAGCUUCCUUCACUAAAGUUGGAGAUAAAUGAGUCCUCUGUCUUCUGCAACCAAAAUCAUUCAAUUCGGACAAGUCUCAUAGGAGUUACACUCUCCGGAAUGCGAAGUGGUCUAAGCUGCUCUGGAUGCUGCGAGAUGGUCUUGCGACUUGGUUAACCCGCAGGCCUGAAGAUGAACGCCUGAAUGCUGAUGCUGCGAGUUGAUAUGUGCGGGUAAACUAUCACUGGAAGAGGUCUGAAGCUCAAGAGCAAGAGAAAUGCUAAGUCCACAAUCGUGCGACUUAGGCAUGCGAGUUAGCCGCGCCUGGAACUAUGCCGCACGAUCACUCGCAAAUCACUCCGACUUGAGCCUGCGACCUAGGUGCAACAGAGACCAACCCGCACAGUUUGUACAUUCCCCAGAAACCGCCUUAGCCCUGCGAGUUGGAGAGGAAGGAGACCAAGCCGCAGCAACACUCGCAAAACACUCCUACUUAGGCGUGCGGCUAAGACAAGGCGAUUUAGGCUUCACAAGACAAGUCUUCAUCUACUGCGACUUAGGUGUGCGACCUGGGACAUACUGGACUGACCCGCAGGAUUUCCACUUGACCCAACUGAGCCGGGUCAGUACCCAAUUUGUCCUGGGCUGACCCGGUCCAUUAGCACUAGGUAUAUGUAGUUUUUUGGGAGAAAAGCCCUGGACAUCAUCUUCUCUCUUAGUUUCUCUCUAGUUUUCUUUCCUUUUUAGUGUAAAAACGUUUUUGAUUAAGAGAGAUCUCAAGGAUUUAAUCAAUCUAAGUCUGUUUCUCAUCAUCUCAUCAUCUCAUUUCUGCUUCUAAUCAUGAUUAACAUCAUCUCUUGCAAAAGAUUAGAUGUGUUCUUCAUGAUUAGUGAGUAGUCAUCUUUUAAGCUUCUAGGUGUGUAGAGUAGGGUGCUUAGAUGUAGAUUAAUGAUUGUUUAAGCUUAGAUUCUCUUCUCCUUUCCUUAGUUAGCUGAUCCUAAUGCUAGAUCCUUGCACAUCACUUGGGUCUAGAAUCUGGGUUUUUCAUGCACCAAAAGUGUUUGAUGAAAUGCCUGAAUGAAAGCUAACUAAGGGUUUAUGCAUUAAUGUCAUGGGAAUGAUUGUUAAAUGCAUGAAUGGCAUAUUAGAACUGUUUCUUAAUGCUCAUUGAUUCAUAUUUCACAAAUGAUGAUUUGGUUUGAAAAUGGAUUAGUGUAGAGGUUAGUGCCUUCAUGAGAGGAUUAAUCUAGAUUAGAGUUCUAAGUUAAUUGGAAUUUGAGAUCAUGUGAUGCUUGCUUUAUCUUUCUGUAUAAGAUUCAGUCUUUCUUAGCUCUUAUUUUGAUGCACAAAGAGGCUGUCUGGUCAUGUUAGACUUGGAACCUUAUGCUUGUUAACUGCUUAUUCACUAAUGGGAAUUAGUCUUGAAUUGGUAAUUAACAAAGGGAUUUCUGUCAUGAGAAUGAAUUAAUCUGAAUUGGAAGUCUAGACUAAAGAUUUGCAAGUGUUGCAUUGUUUGCUUAGCAUCAUGAAUUCACAUUUAAAGCACCCUAAUCAAUGAUCACAUCUAGAGGUUUAGCUUUCUUUUUAUUUGAAUUUGAGUGUUUGUUUAGUUUCUCUUGCUUUUUUUAAUUCUUAAUUACUGUUUGUUCUUGCUUGUUUUGUUAUAUGCUUUUAGAUAAUUUUGGUUACCAACUCAUCUGCUUAUUAGACUUGGAUUAAGAAUUGAUCCUCAUAGUUCUAGUGUCCAGAAUCUCUCCAUUUGGAUUGAUACCUCAAGUGCUACAAUGACAUGAGUAGUUGAGGAAUUGAUCAAGGAUUGAAAAAUUCCUACUAUCAAUUUGGCGCCGUUGCCAAUUGGAGAGUUCAUUCUAGCAUUAGGACUUUGGAUCUUCUUGAGAUCAAGUCAUUUUCUUUUGUUUUACUGAUUACCUUUCAAGUGCUGUCUUUGUUUUCAGGUACCGAAUCCCAUCAGAACACCGCAAUUAAGCGUGCUUGGGCGAGAGUAGUACUAGGAUGGGUGACCUCCCGGGAAGUCCUCGUGUUGCACCCCUUUUUUGUUCCUCUUGAUUUUUUUGUUUUUUUUUUUUUUGGUCUUUUCAUUUGAAAAACAAUGCAUCUUCCGAACGACGCUAUUUCAAGACCGUGUGGAACCACGCCUCCUACAGCAACUUUUCGAAAAGCCCCAAGAGUGCUCUCGGGCUUGCCCAAGGGUCUAAAGACCAUGGGUGUGGUGUACGAGGCCAAAAUUUUGAGUUUUAGACCCUCUUCCGGGCGUUUUUCUAAAACAUAAGCCCCGGUUUUAGUGUCGUCAAACGUGGUGUCCUAACUUAUAUAUCUUGGCACGAAUGCUCGUCGCAGCUGGGUGGGAAAACCCAUAUAAACAAUGCAACACACGCGAAGAGAUUUCAUUGCGGACUCAAAGCCAAAGGAUAUAUGCUAAUGCGAUACAUAUACUAACGGGUGCGAUCAUACCAGCACUAAUGCACCGGAUUCCAUCAGAACCCCGCAGUUAAGCGUGCUUGGGCGAGAGUAGUACUAGGAUGGGUGACCUCCCGGGAAGUCCUCGUGUUGCACCUUUUUUUGUUCCUCUUGAUUCUUUUCUUUUUAUUUUAUUUUUUGUCUUUUCACUUGAAAAUACAAAGGCAUCUUCCGAAGGACGCUAUUUCUAGACCGUGUGGAACCAGGCCUCCUACAACAACUUUUCGGAAAGCCCCUAGAGUGCUCUCGGGCUUGCCCAAGAAUUUAAAAACCAAGGGUGCGGUUUACGAGGCCAAAAUUUUGAGUUUUAGACCCUCUUCUGGGCGUUUUUCUAAAACAUAAGCCCCGGUUUUAGUAUCUUCAAACGUGGUGUCCUAACUUAUAUAUCUUGGCACGAAUGCUCGUCGCAGCUGGGCGGGAAAACCCAUAUAAACAAUGCAACACACGCGAAGAGAUUUCAUUGCGGACUCAAAGCCAAAGGAUAUAUGCUAAUGCGAUACAUAUACUUGAUGGGUGCGAUCAUACCAGCACUAAUGCACCGAAUCCCGUCAGAACACCGCAAUUAAGCGUGCUUGGGCGAGAGUAGUACUAGGAUGGGUGACCUCCCGGGAAGUCCUCGUGUUGCACCCCUUUUUUGUUCCUCUUGAUUUUUUUGUUUUUUUUUUUUUUUGGUCUUUUCAUUUGAAAAACAAUGCAUCUUCCGAACGACGCUAUUUCAAGACCGUGUGGAACCACGCCUCCUACAGCAACUUUUCGAAAAGCCCCAAGAGUGCUCUCGGGCUUGCCCAAGGGUCUAAAGACCAUGGGUGUGGUUUACGAGGCCAAAAUUUUGAGUUUUAGACCCUCUUCCGGGCGUUUUUCUAAAACAUAAGCCCCGGUUUUAGUGUCGUCAAAUGUGGUGUCCUAACUUAUAUAUCUUGGCACGAAUGCUCGUCGCAGCUGGGUGGGAAAACCCAUAUAAACAGUGCAACACACGCGAAGAGAUUUCAUUGCGCACUCAAAGCCAAAGGAUAUAUGCUAAUGCGAUACAUAUACUAACGGGUGCGAUCAUACCAGCACUAAUGCACCGGAUUCCAUCAGAACCCCGCAGUUAAGCGUGCUUGGGCGAGAGUAGUACUAGGAUGGGUGACCUCCCGGGAAGUCCUCGUGUUGCACCUUUUUUUGUUCCUCUUGAUUCUUUUCUUUUUAUUUUAUUUUUUGUCUUUUCAUUUGAAAAACAAGGCAUCUUCCGAAGGACGCUAUUUCUAGACCGUGUGGAACCAGGCCUCCUACAACAACUUUUCGGAAAGCCCCUAGAGUGCUCUCGGGCUUGCCCAAGAAUCUAAAAACCAAGGGUGCGGUUUACGAGGCCAAAAUUUUGAGUUUUAGACCCUCUUCUGGGCGUUUUUCUAAAACAUAAGCCCCGGUUUUAGUAUCUUCAAACGUGGUGUCCUAACUUAUAUAUCUUGGCACGAAUGCUCGUCGCAGCUGGGCGGGAAAACCCAUAUAAACAAUGCAACACACGCGAAGAGAUUUCAUUGCGGACUCAAAGCCAAAGGAUAUAUGCUAAUGCGAUACAUAUACUUGAUGGGUGCGAUCAUACCAGCACUAAUGCACCGAAUCCCAUCAGAACACCGCAAUUAAGCGUGCUUGGGCGAGAGUAGUACUAGGAUGGGUGACCUCCCGGGAAGUCCUCGUGUUGCACCCCUUUUUUGUUCCUCUUGAUUUUUUUGUUUUUUUUUUUUUUUGGUCUUUUCAUUUGAAAAACAAUGCAUCUUCCGAACGACGCUAUUUCAAGACCGUGUGGAACCACGCCUCCUACAGCAACUUUUCGAAAAGCCCCAAGAGUGCUCUCGGGCUUGCCCAAGGGUCUAAAGACCAUGGGUGUGGUUUACGAGGCCAAAAUUUUGAGUUUUAGACCCUCUUCUGGGCGUUUUUCUAAAACAUAAGCCCCGGUUUUAGUAUCUUCAAACGUGGUGUCCUAACUUAUAUAUCUUGGCACGAAUGCUCGUCGCAGCUGGGCGGGAAAACCCAUAUAAACAAUGCAACACACGCGAAGAGAUUUCAUUGCGGACUCAAAGCCAAAGGAUAUAUGCUAAUGCGAUACAUAUACUUGAUGGGUGCUAUCAUACCAGCACUAAUGCACCGAAUCCCAUCAGAACACCGCAAUUAAGCGUGCUUGGGCGAGAGUAGUACUAGGAUGGGUGACCUCCCGGGAAGUCCUCGUGUUGCACCCCUUUUUUGUUCCUCUUGAUUUUUUUGUUUUUUUUUUUUUUUUGGUCUUUUCAUUUGAAAAACAAUGCAUCUUCCGAACGACGCUAUUUCAAGACCGUGUGGAACCACGCCUCCUACAGCAACUUUUCGAAAAGCCCCAAGAGUGCUCUCGGGCUUGCCCAAGGGUCUAAAGACCAUGGGUAAGGUUUACGAGGCCAAAAUUUUGAGUUUUAGACCCUCUUCCGGGCGUUUUUCUAAAACAUAAGCCCCGGUUUUAGUGUCGUCAAACUUGGUGUCCUAACUUAUAUAUCUUGGCACGAAUGCUCGUCGCAGCUGGGCGGGAAAACCCAUAUAAACAGUGCAACACACGCGAAGAGAUUUCAUUGCGGACUCAAAGCCAAAGGAUAUAUGCUAAUGCGAUACAUAUACUAACGGGUGCGAUCAUACCAGCACUAAUGCACCGGAUUCCAUCAGAACCCCGCAGUUAAGCAUGCUUGGGCGAGAGUAGUCCUAGGAUGGGUGACCUCCCGGGAAGUCCUCGUGUUGCACCCCUUUUUUGUUCCUCUUGAUUUUUUUGUUUUUUUUUUUUUUGGUCUUUUCAUUUGAAAAACAAUGCAUCUUCCGAACGACGCUAUUUCAAGACCGUGUGGAACCACGCCUCCUACAGCAACUUUUCGGAAAGCCCCAAGAGUGCUCUCGGGCUUUUGAGUUUACGAGGCCAAAAUUUUGAGUUUUAGACCCUCUUCCGGGCGUUUUUCUAAAACAUAAGCCCCGGUUUUAGUGUCGUCAAACGUGGUGUCCCAACUUAUAUAUCUUGGCACGAAUGCUCGUCGCAGCUGGGUGGGAAAACCCAUAUAAACAAUGCAACACACGCGAAGAGAUUUCAUUGCGGACUCAAAGCCAAAGGAUAUAUGCUAAUGCGAUACAUAUACUUGAUGGGUGCUAUCAUACCAGCACUAAUGCACCGAAUCCCAUCAGAACACUGCAGUUAAGCGUGCUUGGGCGAGAGUAGUACUAGGAUGGGUGACCUCCCGGGAAGUCCUCGUGUUGCACCUUUUUUUGUUCCUCUUGAUUCUUUUGUUUUUAUUUUUUUUUUUGUCUUUUCAUUUGAAAAACAAGGCAUCUUCCGAAGGACGCU